This 53091-nucleotide long non-coding RNA is filed under the name Zea mays. RNAcentral's name for it is "long non-coding RNA (ZMAY_LNC000644)". Lineage: Eukaryota; Viridiplantae; Streptophyta; Magnoliopsida; Poales; Poaceae. The record is from RNAcentral.
UGGAUCUUGGGUCUAGGUUACCAUAAAAACAUGUGCUAUAGCUCACUUGUGGCAAAAAAUGUCGUAACGGCCUCUCCGAUCUAAAACGUAGGUGGCAGGUCGGAUACAUGAAAUUGGCUCUUUGGCCACGGAAACGUGUGCUACAGCUCGUGGGAGGCCAAGGACCACUUUAAGGUGCUCUGGGGACCAAAAAGCGGGUGGUGGAACACGUACUUAAAAUGGUCGCUCGACCAUGAAAACGUGUGCCAUAGCCUACGGGAGGCCAUAAACAGCCUUAGCAGUCUCAGUGGCCAAAUCAUGGGUGGCGGACGGGAGGUGUUGGGUCUAUGCUUCGUCGCCGAAGGUCUUAUAGAAAGAAGUGAUCCUCGGAUGAAGCUGUUCGCACAAGAUAGCCGAAGGUGCCUUUUCGCAGAGCUUCGGCAUUACAAACCGACUUAAAGAUAGAAUGACCUUUUAGUCCAUAAAGGUCUGAGUCAAUGUUGUAAGUUCUUAUAAGGGGCAUACUUGUAAUUCCUCACAGGCUGCGUCCUGUGCCUAUAAAUAGUGAACAGUAUUACGUUACUGUUCACGCAUUUUUUCUGACAUUUGCAAUCGCAUUUCUCGGAAUACAACCUUUGUCAAGGCAUAGGUAUCAUUGUAUUUUAUGAUUCAAUAUAUUAAGUGAAUAUUAUAUAAUGCAUCUGUGAAUCGUUUAUUCAUUCUUACCUUUUAUUUUACAUUAUUCUACAACGUUUAUUGAAAGUUUAUUACGAAGGUUCAACUUCGUAAUAAGACGCUUAUCAACCUUCGUCUAAGAUCCAUUAUCCUCAAAGGAAUAAUGCUUCGCGGACGAAGGACAGUAUCAUUUAACAUUCUAUGUUGCCUUGUUCUUAAUUCAUAGCAUUUGAGAACAAGUCCCCAACAGGAAUAAUGCUUCGCGGACGAAGGACANNNNNNNNNNNNNNNNNNNNNNNNNNNNNNNNNNNNNNNNNNNNNNNNNNNNNNNNNNNNNNNNNNNNNNNNNNNNNNNNNNNNNNNNNNNNNNNNNNNNGCAGCAGUAGCAGUAGCAGCAGUAGCAGCAGCAGCAGUAGCAGAAGUAGCAGCAGUAGCAGCAGUAGCAGUAGUAGCAGUAGGAGCAGUAGUAGUAGUAGUAGUAGUAGUAGUUUACGAACGGCUUUUCUCGCCAACGGAACUGCUCUAUCAAAACAAAAGUGAAAGAGACAUUUCUUUCAGGAAGGGCAAUGCGGGUUCGACUCCCGCUCGUGACAAGAAGCAAGCCAAGCUAGGUAUGCUCGCUAGCUGAAAAAGGCAAGGGAAAUGACAAAAGACAAGGGCAAACAUGCAUACGAAUGCAAAUCCGAAUCCUAAUGCUCCAAAGAAAAGAGAAGGGAAUUGCCAACUUGAAUGAAUGUUACGGUUGCCAAUCAUCCAAUUCCUACUUCGGGUUCCUACGAGUCCUACGAUAUAGCGAUUCACGAAAACAGUGAUGAUUGAAGGAAGCAGCUGCACGCCUCUCCGGAAGAACCAAUUUCUAUUCGGAAGGAAGGGUUUAACCAGGUGUAGACGAAUCCGAAUCAAACUAUAGAAUGUUCUUUGCCGAUGCUUUGCGGGAACCGACAGGAAGCUUUGGAUGAAAGGAUAGGAAUAGGAAUAGUCAUAUCGCUCGGGACUUCCGUUGGAUAGCGUAAUGUACGUUCGCCGUUGAUUCCUUUUGAAAGGAUAGGUGCAGGAGUGGGGGUAGCAUUAUUUUCUAUCGCUAUCCUGGGCCGAGGAGAGGGGGUUUCGGAAGCCGUGCCCUUGUUGGUAAAGGAAGUAGGUUUUGCUUUUGAAGGUAGGUAUUUCUGGAAGCAAGGAAAAGAAAGAAGGAAGUUGACUCGUACCAAGCAAAGCAGCUACUCUACUUGCAGUCCUGAGCUCAACGCCUACUCAUACCCUUCAAUAGAACUGUUCACAAGUUCCCUUGUUCUAUAGUUCACUCGAGGGUGGUGUGCUUUUUGCCUCACUUCAAUCGCCUAAGGGCUUAUUUUAUUGAGGAGUGAUGUCUCACGACUUGUGUGUCGUGCCAGGCCUCUUCCUUCACCGCAGGGGGGAUAAGUCUUUGAUAAGUAAAGCUAAACAGAAAGAAAAGUCCACCAUGAUUCCUCAAGCUAGACAGAAAGAGAAGGAAUAGGUCUUACUAGUCCCGGUACAAGAGAUGGGAAUUCCGUGCUAUUGGAACGACUAGUAGAAUGAAACAGAACUAGUAGUUCUCUAAACCUUGUGAAACUAUGAGAGUAACGUAUGUAUUCAGCCCUAGUAGUCUGUAUCGAUGAAUAGAAUGACUUUUGCUAGUGAGUGUUACAAGCUAGUAGUAGUUGUACAUUACUAGUGAAUGGAACGAUACGCAGGUGUUGAUUCCUUUAUUGUUCUAUAUUACCUAGCCAUACACACUCCUUUCUCCUAUUACUCGCUAAACACACUCCUUUCUUUCCUAUGCAAGUAUCAUUCCAGAUGCAUGGAUUAGCAUACGUAUAAAAAAACUCUUACUUAAAUAUUGAGAUUGCCCUUCUUCGUAUAUCGAUUUGGGAAGUGUUCCAGAACAAAAUGAAUACUCCUGCUGCUAGUAGGUGGAAAACAGGGUCAAUUGUGGUUAUGUUGAUCCAUCUGCUUCAAAGCUUCGGGUGCUUUUGCUAAUGAAUCUUUUCCUUGUUCGUUCUGAUACGACCCAUUCCAUGGAUAUGAUCAAUGUAAAGAUUUUAUUUUUUUAUAGUUGUAUACCACAUCAUUAGAUGAACGAUAUGAGGCAGUUGCCAAUUGCACUCUUGUUGCUUGUAAAAGUGCAAUCAAAUCGAGAGUUUUAACGAUUGGGACAUAGCCGAGAUACGCUAAGGUUGAGGCAAGGCGGAACCUCCUCUACUAAAGUACGAAUACGAAUAUUUCCUUUGCGGAGGAUAUUCACUGCUACGGAACUACAGCAUAGAUCUAUUAUAAAAAGAAAGAACUUCAAACUCUUCCACUUACUCCUGUUUGGUUUGCUUCUGUUUUCAGUUGAACAUUCUUCUUUUCUUUGAUUUUCAAUCAACGAGUACGGGAGACAAUGGCUCUUCUUUGCUUUGGCAAAAAGAGAAGGAGCUCUUCUUGCCCAUACGGGAGUGGAAGCUUCAGUGUAAGCAUUUCCUCACACUUGUCUUCGUAGGCCACUUUAUGUUGAGCAGGAGGCGCUCGCUGUUCUUGUUGAAGUUGUUUAUACAGGUUUUGGUGGCAAUCCGAGUGAGAUUGAACCUGCUUCUUUGACUCAAGAACACUUUCUUCUUUUCAAUAGGUAAAAGCACACCACCUUCUCAUGACAAUCAUAGUGCUUCGGUUUCUGUCUGUCUAAAGGUGUUCCCAGGGGGUAGCUGCUUUUGCAUAGAAUGGAUUUUGGGCCUUGCCCGCUUGCACAAGGAAAAGAAGAAGCGAAAUCCAUUUCCGUAAGGUGUGACGUUGUUCCGUUGUUCGAAAGGAAAGGUAGGGAUAGACAGGUAAAGGAAGCCAAGUACUUGACAACCCAACCCUAGUGUUAGUAGUAAGAGUUUGAGAAUCAUAGCCUGGGUACUCUUUUGACUCAUCGGUCUCUCUCUGCUUGACCUAUACUCCCGGAACUUUCUGGCCAGGCCUUCCUAUAUGCUUCUCUCCCUUAAGAGCGGAAAUCGUUAAGCCUGCGGCCUUAGGAUCUAGUGCACCGAAUACUUUGCCAAUCCUACACUUAUAAUAUCGGAUCGGAAAGGUAGUUAUUCCCGGAAACUGUAGGAAAAGAGCCUCACUCCUAGCCUCUAGACUGAAACUGACCCUGAAAGGCUUGAGAGCAAAGGGUGCGGUCGCAUAAUCCAAUCCUGCUAAUAGAAAGGCACGGACUCGAAGGUAGUUGUGCCAGGAGAGGAUUGAGAAGAGUGUCAUACUCAAGAAGUAAGCCAUCAAAUCCUUUCUGAUGACAGAUGGAUUAUCUAUAGACUAAAGACGGAUUUUCUAUCGACUUUCAAACUUAUCGAGACCUUCUAUUUCAUUGAACUACUAAAUACUGGCGCAUAGAUCUUCUAGUAGAUAUAAUAUAAGAAGGAAGGUUCUUUCUAACGAUUGGAGGACCGGGCAUUUUGUCAUUCAAAGAUAUGGUAACCGAACACUAUUGUUAGAAAAACCUUGUGUCAUCCUUCGGUAGAGCAAAGCAAGGAUGAUGAGGACAUCACUUCUAUAUAUACAAUGAAUGGACCGAUAACACGAUCUCGUGCACGACAGCUAAAUCUCCAGGUACGUUCUACCCUAGUCAAUUGUGUUUCAGAGCUUACGCUUGGGGCCAUGGAUGUUUUGAUGAUUAGGUACCUUGGAGAGGACCAGCAAGGACUUGGGAAAGGCCAAGGUGUUGAGGAGGAGCAGCAAGGGCGUCCACAACAGGAAGGAGAUCAAGUCCGAGUCGGCUGCGACUCUAUCUCGGGUUUCAGGACCAGUCUGCACUAAAAUGGACGCCUAAGAUGCAUACGGACUCCGAUUGUGACGGACUGGAUAUGGUUGGAAAGAUAACGAGAUUAUCUAACCAACCCAACUGGUUCCACCCUAAAAUUCAUCCGGAGUCAACGGGAAUCGUCGAAACAAGUCAGCAUUCAGAUUCUGUUUUGGUGCUGCGACACCGUCUGUUGGGCCGUUGGGCCAUGUAUCGCGUCGGAGCCCAUUAGGGGCGAGUCCAGGGCUACGCACGCCCUAAUACUCUAUUUAUUCAGCAGCCGCCGCCACAUUUAGGUUUGGGGUUUUGCUUAGAUCAAUUCUAUCAUCGAACAGUGUCGCCGUCAUCGGCUUGUGAGACCUCCCUCCCGUAAUCAAUACAAGUUUGGUUGCGUUUCUUUCCUGUUCUUGCUUGUGUUCUUGAUUGCGCUUGCAGGGAUAAGCCUUCGUGGCGAGGUCAUUCGUGUGUCAUGGGUGAUAACCAACGGAGCCAUGGUGUAGUGAUUGCGAGGAACCGUUCGCUCGGAGCCUUGGAUCAUCAACGUCGAGAUCUCCACUCAAUCAAAUUAUCGUAUCUCACGGAAGAUUGGGCCGCGUCUACUAUCAAUUGGUAUCAGAUUUCUAGGUUGUCCGUGAGGUAUAAUUCUACCUUUAGAUUAGUUUUGUUUUGUCCCAUAGUCCACAAAAAGCCAAAAAAAUUACGAUCAGUUUAUUCCGACCUAAAACCAUUGCCUUAGCCUUUGCACAAUUCAGUUUUAGAGUCCGCAGUUCUGAGUUCGUGUUCUAGUUGAGUUUGGUUGCUGGAUUAGAUUUGUUUUGGUUCAGUUUGAUUGUAUCCAUCCGCUUCCAUCCUAUAAAACCGACCCUAUCCACAAAACAGAUCCUAUCUCUACAACCGAUCCUAUUCACAAAAUAGAUCCUAUCUCUACAAUCGAUCCUAUUCACAAAAUAGAUCCUAUCUCUACAACCGACAAUAUCCACAAAACAUAUCCUAUCUCUAAAACAGACCAUAUCCACAAAACAGAUCCUAUAUCUAAACCAACCAUAUCCAGAAAACAAAUCCUAUCCCUAAAACUGAACCUGUGCUCCAUAGCUGUCGCUUCGGUUCCUGCCGAGUUGUGCCUUUGAAAACCAUAACUUGAGGUACCUUCCAUAAAACGGGUAUAACUUUUCGCUCGGUGCUCCGUUUGAGCUCAAAUUUUUACAGCAGAUUCUUGACUCCAUUCUGGGGUGACCCAAACUCGCCUACGGCCUGUUUGGUUCGGUCAAAAAAUUCAAAAAAAUCGGGAAGAUAAUUAAAAAAUUGUUUAAGUGUUUUCACGAAUUUUAGAGAUCCUUUGUGAAUUUCUCUAGGCCACAAUACAACUCUGUUUCAAGUGAAAUUUUGUGUGUUUCCAUCCAUUGUGUUUUUGGAUCAGUGGUAAAAAAUUCAGAAUAUUUCGAGCUCUUUUGAUGGUACUCCUUUUGAAACGCGCCUUUGAUUUCUACUAGUGCUGAAAAAUCUGCCAUAUUUACAGAACUGCCAUUCCCACUAGAUACUUGUACCUCCUUUCUUGUGCUUUGGUCCAACUGUUCUAUUACAUUUUCUAGGCCAGCAACUAGGACGAGUACUUGGAACACUUAUUCAGCAUUGCUAUCUGUUACUGACUUGUGUGCCACAUAUAUAUAUUUAGUUAGCCUUCCCGUAGCUCCAAUUUUCUCUCGAGCAGAACAGGUACUCUUUUGCAAUCACACCCACGCUCGUUGGACAGUCACACCGGUCACCGUUUGCCACCUGCAGUGCUGGUAAGAACGUUGUAAGAGCGGGGUAAGACGCUUCAUAAUUUGUAUUCCACCACCUCCACCACCACCCUGAGAGAUAGUUGUAGGGUUCACAUUGUUUGUUGCCUUUUUGUCUCUGUUUUGUGCUAACAAUGACAGGACCAAAGAAUCAAAUGGACAAGGACAAGGGGCCUAAACUUAACGACGAUGAGUGUGUCUCUCAAAUGGAAUUGAAGGAGAUGAUGCGCGCGAUGACUGAAGCUUUUAAAAAAUACCAGGACUCUGCCUCGACAUCCUAUGAGCAACUUGAUCGACGAGUUGCUGAACUUGUUACACGCAUGGACGUACUGGAGGCUCGUCCCCCACCACCAACUCCAGCCCCAGCUCACUCUCCUGUGGACGACGACGACGAUGACGACGAUGUUUAUGCACCGCUGCGACAACGCCUCGCACGUAAUCGACAAGGUAUGGGAGGUAAUGGUAGACGUCGUCAUCAUAAUCCUGAACCAGACCAUGAUCCAUUUGCUAAGAUUAAGUUUUCUAUUCCACCGUUCAUGGGUUCUUAUGAUGCUGAAGCUUACUUAGACUGGGAGAUGACGGUAGAACAAAAAAUUAAUUCCCAUCUUGUUCCUGAGCAGCAUAGGGUUAGACAAGCCACUAGUGAAUUUAGAGAUUUUGCUAUCAUUUGGUGGAAUGAACUUGUUAACACACGUGCUGCACCACAAACAUGGAAUGCGUUAAAAGAGGAGAUGCGAGCUCGCUUUGUUCCCCCUUCUUAUAGACAUGAUCUUCGAAAAAAAAUUGCAACGCUUAGAUCAGGGAGACAUGUCGGUACAGGAAUACUACCAAGAACUUCAGAAAGGUAUGCUACGAUGUGGGGUAGUUGAGGAUCCGGAGGAUCAAAUGGUUAGGUUUUAUGGGGGAUUGAGGCGGGAGAUUCAGGAUAUUGUUGAUUAUAAAGAAUAUCAUUCUAUACAACGCUUGUUCCAUCUUUCUAUGUUGGCAGAAAAAGAAUUGUAGGGUCGUCAACAACGGAGGAGCAGCACUUUCGCUCCACGCCAGCCACCGGCGCCAGCCAAGGCGUCAUCAUCUUUGGGCGUACGGACGUCCACAUCUUCCACUGUACCUUCGGGUGUUGCAGCAAAACCUGCUACAACCACCUCUUCCACAGGCCGCUCCUCCGACAUCAAGUGCCACCGCUGCCAGGGACUUGGUCAUAUUCAGCGAGAUUGCCCCAGCAAACGGGCUACAUUGCUACUGGUGAUGGUGGGUAUGUUAGUGCUUCUGAUGUUGAAGAUGAAGAUACUGUUGGAGCUAACAUUGCAGAGACUUACGAAGGUGAUGAAGAGGUUCUUGGUACAACAGCGACCGAGACCUAUAAGGCCUUGAUUGUGCAACGAGCUUUGAGUACCACGGCUAGUGACGACGACAACAGACAGCGCCACAACCUUUUCAACAUGUUCCUCAUCGUCAAGGACUGCCGUGUACAUACCAUCAUUGACGGUGGUAGCUGCAACAACUUGGUGAACGUUGAGGUGGUCAAGAAGCUUGGCUUGACCACACGAGAGCAUCCCCACCCUUAUCACAUUCAAUGGUUUAACAACAGCGGUAAGUUCAAGGUAACAAAAACAACAAGGGUGCAUUUUUUCUAUUGGCUCUUACCAUGACUUUGCUGAUUUCGAUGUGGUGACUAUGGAUGCUUGCUCUCUUUUACUGGGACGUCCUUGGGAGUUUGAUACUGAUGCUAUUCACCAUGGUAGAUCUAAUAAAUAUACUUUUAUGCACAAGGGAAAGAAAAUUGCGUUGCUUCCUAUGACUCCCACUGAGAUUGUCCACUUUGAACAUGAGAAAAAGACUAAUGCUAAGCAAAAAGGUGUUUUGAACUCUGAAAAUCAGCAACCUAUUAAGUUAAAAACUCCUACUUUGCUAGCCACUAAAUCUGAUCUUGAUGAGUUACAUGCCUCUCUUGGACUUUGCUAUGCCUUAGUGUGCAAAAAUGCUUUCUAUUCCAUUGAUGAUACAUCUAUUGUCUUGCCACCUGCUAUUGCUAACCUUUUGCAAGAGUAUAUGGAUGUGUUUCCCUCCGAGAUACCCCCUGGAUUGCCACCUGUGCGAGGCAUUGAGCACAAGAUUGAUUUAAUUCCAGGGGCGAGCUUGCCCAACCGUGCUGCCUAUAGGACCAACCCCGAAGAGACUAAGGAGAUUCAGCGCCAGGUCCAAGACCUUCUGGACUGCGGGUACAUUCGUGAGAGCCUUAGUCCUUGUUUUGUUCCUGUUCUUUUGGUUCCUAAGAAAGAUGGCACUUGGCGCAUGUGUGUUGAUUGUAGAGCCAUUAAUAACAUCACAAUUCGGUACAGAUAUCCUAUUCCUAGAUUGGAUGACAUGCUUGAUGAAUUAAGUGGUUCUAUUGUUUUCUCUAAAAUUGACUUGCGUAGUGGAUACCACCAGAUUCGUAUGUCUUUAGGUGAUGAAUGGAAAACUGCAUUUAAAACUUAGUUCGGUCUUUAUGAGUGGUUAGUCAUGCCUUUUGGGUUAACUAAUGCGCCUAGCACUUUCAUGAGAUUGAUGAACGAGGUUUUACGUGCUUUCAUCGGUAAAUUUGUGGUGGUAUAUUUUGAUGAUAUUCUUAUCUAUAGUAAGUCUCAUGAUGAUCAUAUUGAACAUUUACGUGCUGUUUUUGAUGUUUUGUGUGAUGCACGUUUAUUUGGUAACCUUGAGAAGUGCACCUUCAGCACCGAUCGUGUGUCUUUUCUUGGAUAUGUUGUGACAUCGCAGGGCAUUGAGAUGGAUGAGGCAAAAAUUGUUGCCAUCACGAGCUGGCCACUUCCAACCACGGUCACGCAGGUUCGAAGUUUUCUUGGUCUUGCAGGAUUCUACAGGCGAUUUGUGCGGGAUUUCAGCACCAUUGCAGCACCUCUCCACGAGUUGACUAAGAAUGGAGUGUCGUUUCGUUGGGGACUAUCACAACAGCAAGCCUUUGAUGCCCUCAAGUCGAAGCUCACACAAGCACCACUGCUGCAACUUCCUGAUUUUGACAAGACAUUCGAGCUCGAGUGUGAUGCGAGCGGCAUUGGGAUUGGAGAGUGCUCAUUCAAGGAGGUAAACCUGUUGCUUUCUUUAGUGAAAAAUUGAAUGGUCCAACUCUGAAUUAUUCUACAUAUGACAAAGAAUUAUAUGCUUUAGUACGAGUUUUACAAACUUGGCAACAUUAUCUAUGGUCUAAAGAAUUUGUCAUACAUUCGGAUCAUGAAUCUUUGAAGUAUCUUAAGGGACAAUCUAAUCUAAACAAACGACAUGCUAAAUGGAUUGAAUUCAUAGAAUCAUUUCCUUACAUUAUUAAGCAUAAAAAGGAAAGGAUAAUGUAAUUGCUGAUGCUUUAUCUAGACGUUAUACUAUGUUGUCCCAACUUAAUCAUAAAAUAUUUGGUUUGGAGACUAUAAAGGAAUUAUAUGCUACUGAUUUGGACUUCAAAGAUGCUUUUGAAAAUUGCAGAGAGGGAAGAACGUGGCAAAAAUUUAUGCUGCGUGAAGGCCUUCUCUACCGUGCUAACAAGUUGUGUGUUCCAGCUAGCUCCGUUCGUCUUCUACUCUUGCAGGAAGCACAUGGAGGUGGCUUGAUGGGACAUUUUGGUGUUAAGAAGACCGAGGAUGUGUUGUUUACUCAUUUCUAUUGGCCUCGGAUGCGGCGUGAUGUUGAGCGCUACGUCUCUCGUUGCACCACGUGCAACAAAGCUAAGUCCCGACUUAACCCCCAUGGUCUUUAUUUGCCUCUUCCUGUUCCUCGUGCACCUUGGGAGGAUAUUUCUAUGGAUUUUGUUUUGGGAUUGCCUAGAACAAAGAGGGGGAGUGAUAGUGUUUUUGUCAUUGUCGAUCGUUUUUCAAAGAUGGCACAUUUUAUACCCUGUCACAAAACUGAUAAUGCUUCACAUAUUGCUGAUUUGUUCUUCACUAAGAUUAUGCGUUUGCAUGGUGUGCCAAAUACUAUUGUUUCUGAUAGGGAUGCUAAAUUUUUAAGUCAUUUUUGGAGAACUUUAUGGUUUAAAUUGGGAACAAAGUUGUUGUUUUCUACUACUUGUCAUCCCCAAACUGACGGGCAAACAGAGGUUGUUAAUCGCACUUUAUCUACCAUGUUGCGGGCUAUUUUGAAGGAUAAUUUGAGGUUGUGGGAGGAAUGUUUGCCACAUAUUGAGUUUGCUUAUAACAUAUCGAUUCAUUCCACAACCAAGCUUAGUCCAUUUAUGGUAGUAUAUGGUUUUACUCCUCGUGCCCCAAUUGAUUUGCUACCUUUACCACCUUCUGAAAUAGUGAACUUGGAUGCUACACAACGUUCUGAAUUUAUUCUUAAGUUACAUGAAACAACUAAGUUGCAAAUUGAAAAGAUGAAUGAAAAGUAUCGUAUUGCUGCUAAUAAAGGUAGGAAGGAAAUGAAAUUGGAACCUGGUGACUUGGUGUGGGUUCAUUUGAGAAAGGAUAGGUUUCCUGAUUUGAGAAAGUCUAAACAUAUGCCACGAGCUGCAGGUCCUUAUAAAGUUCUUGCAAAAAUUAAUGAUAAUGCAUAUACACUUGAGUUGCCGUCAGAUUUUGGGGUUAGUUCCACCUUUAACAUUUCAGAUUUGAAGCCAUAUAUGGGUGACGAAGAUGAGGCCGAGUCGAGGACGACUCCAAUUCAAGAGGAGGAGGAUGAUGAGGACAUCACUUCUAUAUAUACAAUGAAUGGACCGAUAACACGAUCUCGUGCACGACAGCUAAAUCUCCAGGUACGUUCUACCCUAGUCAAUUGUGUUUCAGAGCUUACGCUUGGGGCCAUGGAUGUUUUGAUGAUUACGUACCUUGGAGAGGACCAGCAAGGACUUGGUAAAGGCCAAGGUGUUGAGGAGGAGCAGCAAGGGCGUCCACAACAGGAAGGAGAUCAAGUCCGAGUCGGCUGCGACUCUAUCUCGGGUUCCAGGACCAGUCUGCACUAAAAUGGACGCCCAAGAUGCAUCCGGACUCCGAUUGUGACGAACUGGAUAUGGUUGGAAAGAUAACGAGAUUAUCUAACCAACCCAACUGGUUCCACCCUAAAAUUCAUCCGGAGUCAACGGGAAUCGUCGAAACAAGUCAGCGUUCAGAUUCUGUUUUGGUGCUGCGACACCGUCUGUUGGGCCGUUGGGCCGUGUAUCGCGUCGGAGCCCAUUAGGGGCGAGUCCAGGGCUACGCACGCCCUAAUACUCUAUUUAAUCAGUAGCCGCCGCCACAUUUAGGUUUGGGGUUUUGCUUAGAUCAAUUCUGUCAUCGAACAGUGUCGCUGUCAUCGGCUUGUGAGACCCCCCUCCCGUAAUCAAUACAAGUUUGGUUGCGUUUCUUUCCUGUUCUUGCUUGUGUUCUUGAUUGCGCUUGCAAGGAUAAGCCUUCGUGGCGAGGUCAUUCGUGUGUCACAGGUGAUAACCAACGGAGCCGUGGUGUAGUGAUUGCGAGGAACCGUUCGCUCGGAGCCUUGGAUCAUCAACGUCGAGAUCUCCACUCAAUCAAAUUAUCGUAUCUCACGGAAGAUCGGGCCGCGUCUACUAUCAAAGGACACAGGGCACAAAGCAUUUCCCGACCACGGAUAGGUACCAUGUGUUACCAUUCAUUUGUCACUUAUUUGAUUCUAUCUCAGAGGAAGAGUGUUCGUUCGGGCUAACGAAAUAUCUCAGAGGGACUCUUACUUCUACAAGAGCUUUUACACAAGUUAUCGACAUAUAGGAAUUCGACUACCUCAUCACUGUGUGAAGGAAAAGGUUCAGGAAGCUUGUGAUGCUCGGGAUGGACUGACUCCAUAUGCGCGAAAGAACUGAGAUCUUCAAUGAAAGCCCCCCAAUUUCAUCGACCCUUACUUAAUGACUGGUGAUGGGGAUUUAUGCUUUUAUUGCCUCGAAGACUUAUCAUUCUUACUUAAGCUUAAGAUCGAGACAGAAUAGUUGGGCACUGGCAUUCUCACAAGCUAUUGUAAGAGGAGAGAAUCACACCUUUGAUAAAAACUUUCUUUACAAGUAAAAACACCCUCCAAGGAUGAACGAUUUAUUUGCAUGAGACUGUUGGCACUACUACUUGUACUUGAUUUGAUUUUCUUGAACGAACAGCCGAGUAAAGAGUAACAUGGCCUAUGAAAGCUUGCUUUAAGUAGGCUACUAUUCAUUCUCUUUUAUGCUUCGCUACGCCCUAGUUAUCAUUUUUUAUGAAUUCAUUCCAAUAUCGAUGAAUGCGGUCCAUAGGGUAGUGAGCGGGAUAAAAUGAAACAAUGGAAGAAAGAAGAGGCGCACAGCGGGAAAGUAUCCCAAGUGGAUUGACUACUCCUGUUUUAUAGCUUAGGGAAAAAGAUCACUUACUCUCUUCGGUCCUCCUCUGAGAUUCUUUUUAGACUUUUGAUGUCGUCUAUUUGCCCAAUUCAGACUUGGUAGUUCCACGUAUACACACGAAGUGGCUCCCUUAUCUGGAAUUCCUUCUUUUCGUAAGCUUUGUGGAUGAGGGGCGGAGCGAGGAAGGGAUAUUGGAUUUGAAAGCCCUUGGCCCAGACGUAUUGAAGCUAGCCUAUAAAAAUAAAGAUUAUAGGGACUUACACUGAUUGAUCCUCUUUGUAAGGAACAUGCCUAGACUAGCACUUCUACUUAUGUAUGAAGGUGGAUCUGACUCCAUUCUUUUGAUUCCCCUCCUCUAACCUCUUUAAAGAUAAAGCAAAAGGCUAUUAUAUUAGGAGGCUUGGGUCAAAGAGCUACUACUUGACAAAAGAGCUACUUCAACAACUACUUAUUCGGUCUGCUUUCGGUUUAAAGUUCUUUAGUUAGAACUUUUUGGGCACGCACAAAGAUCACGUGAACUCAAUGGUGUGCGUAGGGUAACUAACGAAGCACUAAAAGAAGGCAAGAGCAUGCCUCACUCACUGAGCACAAUGCCCUACCUACCAUCUCGAUUCUCAACGAAUUGGAUGCUCACCACAUAUUUAGUAUAUGGGUGUAUGCUCGCGAAACCUACUUCACUCCCACCCACCUCUGAUUGCAUUAGCCUGCUGAUUGAUCCCGGCAAGGAAUGUGGUUCGGCAAAGGAUAAUUUCAAUAUUAUUUCUUUGGAUUUACUUUUUAUGAAAGCGAUGAUUCCAUCUAAUUUUCAUUCUCCCUUCCUUUUUUCAGACUUAGACUAGAAGCUAGCGCUUUUUGGCAUCACUUAAAUAAAAUAUCCGACAUCAUCUUUUGGACAAGAUCCUCUUCGUUCUUCUUCCGGGUUAAAGGGCGAAAGAAAAAGGGCAAAGGAAAAGGCCACCUCAUCAAUAUCAGGAUACUCUGAGGGUUGCAAGUUUUGAUGCACCCGAGCCAAAUCUGACUUUUUUGAGUAAAGCCUUAUGAUGUUUUCAAUUUAUUAAGGAAAGAGGCUUCUUUGCAAAGAAAAGGGAUAGCGCUAGGAAUAUCAAUAGCGUACGGAUAGCAUUAUUCCAUUCCAUUGCUAUUUUCCUUCGUUUCGUAAAGUAUCGUAAAGUAAAGUAAACUCAGGGUUUCCCGUACUCGGAUGGUUGCUUCUACGUCAAUUCAUGGAAAGCUGCCACCAUGGUUCGUGAUUGGGCACAAGAGAGAGAGAGAGAGAGAGUCAAGCGAGUUUCAGUAGGUUCGGGCCGCUUCCUGUGGAGGCUUUGUAUGUGGGAAGUGUUUACCAGUGGUAUCUACCGAGUUGUGAGGUGCUAGAAUGAGAUGAAAGUGAAGGGGAUCUCACUUGGCCUUAUAUACACGACCGUAGGGUGCUUCCCGCGUACAUGUUGAUCACAUUUUUCCUGCUUAUCUCCUAGCUAAUAACGAACAACCUUCGCUGCCCCGAGGAAAACUCGACACCUCUGCUCCGAGCUAUCUUCUACGUUUUAGGAUGUCGGGCGCGGGAAAAACAAACGGCCUCAACGCGAUCACACCAAAGCCGCGAUUAAUCCGGGCGUGGGCCCAUCGCUCUCCUGGGUCGGCCCGUUUCCGCCGUUUCCCUCUGCCCAGCCCACGGCGAGAUGUCAUUGAGAGGCGACUGGCAUGUGGCCCUAGGCAGAGUUUUUGCUCCCGAGUGGAACCGGGGGAUAUUUGUCUCCCACACACUGACCUAUCAUAUUAGAGCAAGGUUAAUAGUGCAGACACACCAACAAUAAAGCCCACACAUAUCAUAAUUGGUUGUUAGAUUGACUCAUAAUGCACACACAGACUCGCGCGAGCCAUGCCGACCGGAUACGGUUGUUUCCACCGUAUGUGUAGAUGCAGAUAAAUAUUUUUAAAAUAGCUUAUUUUGCAUCUGUUCAUGCAGUUCGUGCUCUUCAUAUACAGCCAACCAAACAGACGUUCAACGAAAGUCAAUAUACGUGCUGGUUCAAAACGAGAAGAUGCAGGUAACCAAUCAUGUGGAUAGUGAAAAGCAUUUAAUGCUUGCAUGUAAAUGGGGAAGUAAGAAAGACACAUUUGCUGUUAGCUGAGAAUUUAAGCUAAUUAAUUCAGCUACAAUUAAUAGAGACAAAAUAAUGUAGAAAAAGUAGAAUCCGUUUUGGAAUAAAAUGCAAUGGAGAGGUCAGGUGAUAAAGUGAAUAUUUUUGCCUCAUACCAUGUGCUGCUCGUGAUAAAAUUAAAAUGAACUGAGCCGAGUCGUGGCAAACUGACCACAAGCCGACCAAGUUCACGACAGUGGCCCUACCGGAGACGGAGAGGAGCACCGUCCACCGCCAUGUCCUCCACUCCAACCCAAGCAAGGCACAUAUACCCCCGUCCCAUCGUAUACGAAUCACAGACAAAGCACGAGCGGUGGUAGCUGGCCAGCCACCAUGGCUCCACCACCUCUGUUCCCGCUCCCGCCUCUCCUCAUCCUCCUCGUCAUCGUGCCUCUGUUCCCCACCGCCGCGCGGACGGCCACGACGCUGCCGCUGUACCGCCACCUACCGCACGUAGCCGAGGCCGUGGCAUCGCACCACCACCCGCUGUCCCGCCUGGCCGCCGCGUCGCUGGCCCGCGCGUUGCACCUCAAGCGCCGGGACCCCAACCACCACAGCCAGAAAGGAUCAGGCGGCCACCCGUCAGUACCAGCCACCGCCGCGCUGUACCCGCACUCCUACGGCGGCUACGCCUUCACGGCGUCGCUCGGCACGCCGCCGCAGCCGCUCCCCGUGCUGCUCGACACCGGCAGCCACCUCACGUGGGUGCCAUGCACCUCGAGCUACGAGUGCCGCAACUGCUCCUCCCCAUCCGCCUCCGCCGUCCCGGUCUUCCACCCCAAGAACUCCUCCUCCUCCCGCCUCGUGGGCUGCCGCAACCCCUCCUGCCAGUGGGUCCACUCUGCCGCGAACCUCGCCACCAAGUGCCGCCGCGCCCCCUGCUCCCCCGGCGCCGCCAACUGCCCCGCCGCCGCCAGCAACGUCUGCCCGCCCUACGCCGUGGUCUACGGCUCCGGCUCCACAGCCGGUCUGCUCAUCGCCGACACCCUGCGCGCGCCGGGCCGCGCCGUCCCCGGCUUCGUCCUCGGAUGCAGCCUCGUGUCCGUGCACCAGCCGCCGUCGGGCCUCGCGGGCUUUGGCCGCGGCGCGCCGUCCGUGCCCGCGCAGCUCGGCCUCCCGAAGUUCUCCUACUGCCUCCUGUCCCGCCGCUUCGACGACAACGCCGCCGUGAGCGGCUCGCUAGUCCUCGGUGGCACCGGAGGCGGCGAGGGCAUGCAGUACGUGCCCUUGGUGAAGAGCGCGGCGGGCGACAAGCUGCCGUACGGCGUGUACUACUACCUGGCGCUGAGGGGCGUGACGGUGGGCGGGAAGGCGGUGCGGCUCCCGGCGCGGGCGUUCGCGGCCAACGCGGCGGGGUCCGGCGGCACCAUCGUGGACUCCGGCACCACGUUCACGUACCUGGACCCGACCGUGUUCCAGCCCGUGGCGGACGCGGUGGUGGCUGCGGUGGGCGGGCGGUACAAGCGGUCCAAGGACGCGGAGGACGAGCUGGGGCUGCACCCCUGCUUCGCGCUGCCGCAGGGCGCCAGGUCCAUGGCGCUGCCGGAGCUGUCGUUCCACUUCGAGGGCGGGGCGGUGAUGCAGCUCCCGGUCGAGAACUACUUCGUGGUCGCGGGGCGCGGCGCCGUGGAGGCCAUCUGCCUCGCCGUCGUCACCGACUUCAGCGGAGGCUCCGGGGCUGGGAACGAGGGCAGCGGCCCGGCCAUCAUCCUCGGCAGCUUCCAGCAGCAGAACUACCUGGUGGAGUACGACCUGGAGAAGGAGAGGCUGGGGUUCCGCCGGCAGUCAUGCACGUCGUCGCCGUCGUGAGGUCUCACGACGUCGGCAUGGCGGGGAUCGGAGUGGAGGCCAGUAAUUACUCCAGAGUCCAGUCCACGUAACGCUCCAAAUUCCAAUUCCAAAAGCUGGCUGCUUGAUCUUUUGUUAGUGCUCGUGUACUGCUAAUAAAAACUAAAUUUACUGUCAUCUACUACUACUAUUAAGUUAUUGAAAGACGUGGCUUGCUUUGGGUUUCAUUGGUAGUUUUACUUUUAACCCCUUUAAUUUGGUAGUGGACUAUCAUGGGCUUGUGUGGAAUGUUUGUGGGCCUAUCUCUCUUGUCGCAUGCCUUGAUUGCGUGUGGUUGUGGUGGGUACCUAAUUUACUGACAUGUCAGUGGCAAUUGUAGGAGGCAGGGCAUGUGCCAUUGAUCGGCAUACGUACUCCAUAGCAAGAGGGAAGGGCCAAAUGAGCAUGGGCCCUUUGAAGUCGUGUCAGAAAAACAAACUUGUCUUGUGGCCACCAGGGCGCACGAGCGUUAUUCGCUGUCCACGGCGAUGUACAGCAGCAGCAGCAGGCAGAGUAUCCCUAUCCUAACAGCCAAAAAUCAGAACCACACUUUGCAAUCCGUGGGCUGAAAGGGCGAGGCGCUGGCGGCGGCGGGGACGGGGACGGGGACGGAGAGCGUGCACGUGAUCUUCGCGUUGGGCCCGUGGGCCUUGAACGCCCAGAACUUGACCCUGAGCUUGGCGUUGAGAUCCACGUCGACGUCGAAGCGCCCCGCGGACUGCUGCUGCCUGAACUGGGCGGCGGCGACGUCGCCCUGGAGCAGCUGCGUGCCGCGGAACCCCGGCGCCAGCUUGGUGGCCGCCCCCGUGCCCUGAUAGAAGGCGUCGAGCGGCGCGUAGCCGAAGCGCUGGCCCUCGUACGAGGCCAGCGCCUGGACGUCGUCGUAGUAGAGCCCCACCCGCGUGUUGGGGUUGCGCACCGUCAUGGUGACGUUGAGGUCGUAGGCGAGCGUGGAGGAAGCGGAGAGCGCGAACUGGGAGAGCGAGGCCGAGUCGACGGUGGCCGCGAUCAUGCGCGGCUUCAAUAUGAGGUAGAGGGCGAGGGCCAGGAGGCCCAGCGUGACGGCGAGCGAGACGAGGAUGCUGCACAGGCAGCUGAAGAGGCACCUGCAGGGGCAGCACAGGCACGAGAUGGCGCGGCUCGCGGAGCCCAUGGCGGUGGUGGCCGGGGUUUUGGUAAAUCCGGGACGGCGGUGGAGGGAUUUGGAUCGGAUUUGGUGGUUCGUGCGGUGGUGGCUGGGUUAUAUCUAUAUGCAAGGGAAAGGGACGCCGGGAUGAACGGCGACGCGGUUGUGUAAAUGCAAACUGCUCCGCCUGCGGAUUGGAGAUCGGGGAAGUGGAAGGCACGGCGAAGUGGCUGCCGGCCGUGGUGGAGAUACGAGGAGGCGCCGCAAGCACAUGGGUUGCUUGGGUGGGUCGUUUGGGCGUCCCGAGUCAGGCCAGCCACAAUCCCACGCCGUCUCGUCCAACGUUCACAGAAACAAAUUGCAUUUGCUGCCGUGUGUGCAUCACAACUUCCCCCACUUCGUUCAGCAUCGGUGGAUCCAUUGAUAAAGACGCGUCACGACUCACUAUCGCACUGUCUCAUUUCAUUCCUUCCAUCUAUCCAUGGGCCAGGAAUCAUACCCCUCGUUCCAAAAGUUGAAGAAACAUUUUUAAAAAAAUCAACAGUUUAGACACAUAUAUCUUUUGAACUGCUUAUAUAAGUGUUGAACACUAAAAUUGACAGCACUGAUACCGUUGGACAGUCCACUGGAAGCUCAUACGGUUCGUCCCCUCACAGUCCGACUUAUUAGCCCGGACCGUCUGAGACCAGAUAAGUUUGAGUGAGUUCUGAUUUGUUGUGAGAUCUUCUCUGUUUCUUACGUUGUCUUGUUGGACUUCGGUUACUAUAAGAUUGAGACAUUUCCCCUAUAAAUAUGAAGGAGUACAUCUCGAACACACUCAAUUCAAUUGAAACAUUCCAAUUACCUCACUUAUCUUCAUGCAUUAGGCUUGGAUGUAGCGUAGCUCUAGUUGUAGUUCCUCGAUCUCAGUCUUAGCUCUCUUCGCCUCUACAUCAUUUAGAGGCGCUUUGAGUGGCCUGCCGACACCAAAGCAAUCCUAUGAUCCCUCUCCCUGACGAAGUCUCUCUCGGGAGGCGAGAUCUAGAUUGUACAUGAAGUCAUCUACGCCAUCAUAGAGAAGAGCGUGGUUAUUUGUGCGCAUUGCAAACGGUCCUCUGCGUCAUCUCGGAGAGAAGUCCCAAGGUCCUACGUGUCGCGCACAAGCUCUAAAGAUCAUUAGUAUUUAGCCAAAGACGCCAACAAUAAGUUGAUCACUAAAGUGCUUACAAUAUGGCUUGAACCUUUUGCUCGAAAACUUUUCAAUGAGCAACAAACUGUCUUCAUAAGAAGGGGAGGCACAUUAUGAGUGGUGCGAUGAUCUUACAUGAACCCAAAAGAAGAAAAGAGACUAGGACUGUACUCAAACUUGAUUUUGAAAGAAACAUAUGAUCAAGUCAACUAAGAUUUUAUGUUUCAUUGUUUUUAGGAAAAAAAGGCUUUUGCAAAAAAAAAUGUCCUUAACGCGUAUGGUUGUUAAAGAGGGCACCGCCAGUAUUAAGAUCAAUAAUCAAAUUGCUAGAUACAUAAAAAGAUGUAAAAGAGUUAGACAUGGUGAUCCUCUAUCACCUACCUAUCCAAUUUUGUUGGUGACAGCUUGGCUAGAAUGUUUGUCAAAUGUCACGAAAACAAUGCUAAAUGGACUUGGUAAACAUAAUAUUCUCUUGAAACGAUGAUCUGGAAUGAUUUCUAGUCAGAUUUUUUGUGUAAUUUAUAUAAGUUUUGAUGAGUUGGAAUGAUUUAUGGCUGGAAUACACCACAAACUAACAAGGUGUAAAUAAUUUGGGAUUUUGUAAAGUCAGAUCCAACGGUGAGAACCCAACCGGCAUCAAGGGGCCUACUGGUCGGCGAGACAAAAUCCUGAGACGCUUAAACCCCAUGGCGCCACUGGCCCGUGUUCUCCACUGAUGGUGGACACCUCCACCUCCCCCCAUUCCGCCGCCGGCGGCGGCACCAUCAUCGACGACCUCCACGGCUUCCUCCGCCACCGUCUACGCACCCACUCCUCCGUCCUCUGCGCCCACGCCUUCCUCUUCCGCCGUGGCCUCCUCCUCGGCCACCCCGUCCCCGCCGGCCUCCUCCUCACCGCCUCCGCCUGCUCCGCCGCCUCGCCGCCCGCUCACAUCCUCCGCCUCCUUCGCCACCUACCUCCUCCCCUGCCGCUCUUCUCCCUCGAUGCUGCACUCCGCGCCCUAGGCCCUCGCAUCCCUUUCUCCGCCCUCCUCUCCCUCUUCGCGGCCCUCCUCCGCUCCCACCACCCGCUAUUCCCCGACCACUUCUCCUUCCCGCCUCUCCUCUCUGCUGCCGCCUCCUCCACCUCUCCGCGGCUCCACUUCCGCUCCGCGCUCGCUCUCCACGGGCAGCUCCUCCGCCGCGGCCUCCUCUUCUCUUCGCCGCCCCACGCCGCCAACGCCCUCUUCCACUUUUAUGCCACUGCCGGCGGCAUCUUGUCCGCCCGCUACCUGUUCGACGAAAUGCCAUUCAGGGACAUCGCGUCCUGCAACACCCUGAUGACGGCCUUAGCCAGAACACCCAGUGGCUUGGAUGCCGCACGCCAGGUUUUUGAGGGAAUGCACUUGAGAAAUGUGGUGUCAUGGAACGUCAUGAUUAACGGAUACGUCAAGGCGAAGCAGCCUGAGCAGGCACUGGAGGUGGUCCGGUGGAUGGCAGAGGUAGGAGUUAGGGGAACGGCAAUAACCAUGGUUGGGGCAGCCACAUCAUGUGCUAGGCUGGGGAGGUUGGGGGCUGGGAGGGAGGUGCACUGUGCGUUUUUGCGCCGUUUUGAGGAUGAUAACCUGUUGGUUUGGACUGCAUUGAUUGAUAUGUAUGGCAAGUGUCGGAGGGCUGGGAUUGCGAGGAAGGUGUUUGAUCAGCUCAGAAUGAGGAACCUGGUAUGCUGGAACGCGAUGAUCAUAGGGCACUGUGUGUAUGGUGAGCCUGUUGAUGGGAUCAAACUGUUCCAGCAUAUGAUUGCACUAGGUGGGUUCAGAUUUCCAGGAUUAGUUCUUCAGGAAGCAACAUAUUGCUACAUUUGCGUUUUUCAACUCUUUCUAUAUAUCUAACUCCUUUGCUGCCUUUUCAGGGAAUGUGCAGCCAGAUGGAGUCACUUUCAUUGGUGUUCUCUGCGCCUGUGCCCGUUUAGGCCUCUUGGAGGAUGGAAAGGCAUAUUUUGAGCAGAUGAACACCACAUACAACUUCAAGCCGACAUUUUCGCACUACUGGUGCAUGGCUAAUCUGUAUGGGAGUGUUGGGCUUCUGGAAGAAGCCGAGGGCCUCUUACAGAAUAUACCAGAGGAUCUGAAGGCACGCGCAUUGGGUGGUUUGCUUGGGCUGUGUCGGUUCCGGAGGGAUUGGAGACUUGGGGAACGUAUAGCUCUCAGGUUGAUUGAGCUUGAACCAAGUAACAAUGCUCACUAUGCCCUGCUUUGCAAUGUGUACGCUGCUGCAGGGAGAUGGGAAGAAGUUCACAGGGUGAAGGCUAUCAUGAAAGAGAGAGAUGAGAGGUUCAGCCCUGGACAUCGUCUGGUAAACUUAAAUGAGAUUGUUGAUGAAUUCAAAAUUAGGGAGAGGCAACCUGAGAAUCAGGAGAUAUAUUUCAUCCUGGACGACUUGGUCUCAAAGCUGAAGCUUGAUUGCAAAGAAAAGGAGAAAAAUGAUUUUUGAAUAAAAUAACUCAAAUACACACCUGGGGAUCAUUUUGGUGCUGCACAGGUUUCGAAUGGGCAGCUUCAGGAGGUUAAGUUAGGUUGGGUAUGAAGUGGUGCAUCUUCAGAUGUGUCAUUUGUGCAGAACCACUCUCUGAUUAUGUAGUUGCUAAAAUGCUUGGCAUCAGUAGUUGGUAGUUGCCAAAAGUGACAAUUAUGGUACGGUUGAGAUGGACAGGAAGAACGAAGAAGUAACAAGCCAUGGGAAGCAAAGAUAACCUUUCUGUUAUUGCCCUCUAACACAAACUGAACAUUCUCUAACAAGAACACAAGUAUUUUCUGCAAAAGUUUUGGUCAAUUGAUACCUCAGUCCUUUUUCUAAAUGUGUCCGACUGUCCGUGCCUUGUACUAUCUUGUGCUUGGGAUCUGGCCUUGAGAAUAAGAUUGCAUAUUUGCGUGGAGGUAAUACUUGGGUUUUGACAGUAGCUAAGUUACCCUGGUAUAUGUCUUCAGGUAUUCAGCCUGUCAGGUACAAGUAUUUCUGAAGACCAUAGAUUAACACUUGAGUUAGACAAGUUGACCACUGUCCUCGCUGGCUUUGUUACUGGGAUGGUAGAACCGCUAGUUGACAUUCUUUGGUGGCUUAUCCUUUUAUCUUCUUCCUCACAAUGUGAUCUGGGGUGUGACUGUGAGUGUGUUAUAUGCUUUGAAGCACAAGAGAGACAAGUUUGACCUCAACUCAAGGUUACUAUUAUUCUUCAGAACUCUUUUAUUUUUAUAAGAGAUUAAUUUUCAUCUAUAAGCAUCCUGAAAAGUGCUUUUCCUUUGGUUCGUGCAUCAGGAGAGCUGGCUCUUGCUCUGCAGUUCUUGGCUUCAAUCAAUGGUGUCACAGGCUCCAAAGCCUUUGACGGAGUUACAUAUGUUCCUUGAACUCUCUGGUCGGAUUUCUGAGAUCUUUUGAGUUUAUACCCUGAGAUCUGAGAACACUGAUAACUGGCAUCAGUUGGAAAUUUGUGUUCGUGGUGUUCUUCCUCAGCUGAUGAUAUGGCAUUUAGUUACUUUUUCUAUAAGAAAAUCUGAACUACUGUGGUGUCUUCCAUUGUCAUCAGUCAUAAGAAUUUAUAUCAUUUCAUGAACUGGACAUUGUAAUACCAUCACGAAAGUUAGUGUCAUUCCAGAGAAUGGUGGGAUUCUACAGCAAACCGGGAAGUUGUUCUGUCUCAUUAGGAGAGCAACAGAGGGUUGUGAUGGUCAGUAUUUACUAGCAGGCCACCAUUAUUUUGCUAUCUUUUAUUUUAUUUUAUACACCGUUAGAUAUCUGAAAGUCACUGUCUUAUUUUUGUCAGGCUCAUUGUUUUUCCACCAUCCUAGCUCCCAAGUGUGGUAUCAUCGACGAGUGCCUCAAGUAGGUAUUCUAUGACACUGCUCUUUAUUUUCUAUUUUCCUUUCUCUUUGCUGAUCAACCGUUGUACUCGAUUGCAGUGCAGGCUGCUAGUGUUGAUGUAGAAGAACAUUCAUCAUCUGUACAGGCCUGCAACUAACUAACAUGGCACGCCCGUGGUCACUUCUUCACAACAUACCCUAUACUGUUAGUCAAAACUGUAGGCUGCUCGGAACAAACUGGCGGCGGCGGCGAUAGCGGCUGCUGCUGGUGCUGACUGCUGAACAAUCAUCAUCCCGUAACAGAAACAGAAGAGCAAAUUAAGAAUUUAAGUAAUCAAAGAAUCGUUAUUUCUCUGUUUGGGAGGCUGUGUACUGUACACGAACAAGAAGAAUUCAGUUUGGGAGCUCGAGGCCGUAGAGCACGCCGGCGCACGGCUCCAAGCUGCCUUCCUUGGGGAAGUAGAUCCUAGCCAUCUCCCGGAAGGUGUCCCAGGUGAGCACGCUGUCGGACGCUGCCUGGUGUCCUUGGCCCGCUGCGCGGCGCACCCGGAGCGCGGCGGCGACGCGCUCGAGGCCGCCCAGCAGCGCGACCUCGCCGUGGGAGGCGCAUGCGACCCUGGCCAUGUGCUUGACGUCGUAGACGGCGGCGCCGAAGUAGACGCGGACGUAGCGCAGGAAGUCCGGGAGCGCCCUUGGCAGCUUCCGUCCCAUGAGCAGCUUGACGAGGUAGGCGAAGUCAUAGGCGGAGCUGAAGGUGACCCACGCGACGGCCGGGUUGCAGAUGAGGCCCGACGAGGCGAGCAGCGCGGCGAAGGCGCGCGCGGGGACGCCCCUGGCGCGGUGGGCGGCGAGGUCGAGGCCGCUGGCGGCGAGCAGGCGGACCGAGUCCGGCGCGUGGCGGUGCACGCGCGGGUCGAAGCCGCGGAGGUUGAUCUGGAAGGCGAGCGCGGGCGGGGAGCCAGGGGACGGCGCCAGGGCCAGGCCGACCUGGAUGAGGUGCAGCGCGUCGACGUUGGACUUGAGCAGGGCGUAGCGCUGCGGCGCGGUGAGCGUGGAGUGGUGGACGGCCGGGGGAGGGUGGUGGAUGACGCCCGGGAACUCCGUGUCCAUGGACACGUAGGGGAACCGCUCGAUGGCGGCGCGGAUGAGCUUGAAUUCGCGGUCCACGUUGUCCGCCCACACCUGACGGAUCUCAAGGGGAUGGUGGUGGUGGCGGUGCUUCUGCUGCUGCUUCGGCCUCCACCCGCCGGCGCCGCCCACCUGGACCUCGACCUCGACUGAAGGCAUGUUAGUGGCAAGGCUUGUUGCGCACUUCUACUUGUGCAGGUUCCGAUCCGAUGACUGCCGCCGAGACGCGAAGGCUCUAGAGGAGGCUGGAGCGAUGGUGGUGGCAUGUUGCUGUGGCUGCCGAGGUUUUAUAGGGAAUGGAUCGGAUGGAGGAGGGAGGUGUGCAGUGCAGGGCCGGCAGGAGGGUGCGAGGAACGGGAGGACCGGAGGAGGAAGCCGGCGCGCGCGUGGAGAUCCGUGCGGCGACAGGGAUCGACGGUGGGUGGACGCUGCACAACUUGCACGCGUUUAAUUAUGGCGUGGCGUGGCGUGCGGUGCGGGGAGAAAAAUUGUUAAUGAUUGGGCCCGAUCCGACCAGCAGGCACCGCACCACCAGCUGGACUCACUGGCCUGUUCAACCGACUGGGUCUGGGUCUCCCGCCGCCGUUGCCGGGAACGCGGCGGCGUCGUGUGCUUUUUACACGGUCUUGCUUUCGCCUUCCCCGUGGAAAUUGCGCCGUCCCCCGUGCGCGUACGUACCACUCGUUGACUAGCCCCCGUCUCCUCUGGUGGGCUUGGGCAGUCCACGGAGGGCAACACCGCUAUCCAUACACCGUACUCCUACAUGUGAUGUGACGUGGCAAACUAGUUAGGUCUUGUUCGGUUAAUCCCGUUACUCCUGAGAUUGAAAAAAAAUUAAGAAGGAGAUUGACUUAUUUGAGAUUUAAAUCCACCCAAUCCCAAUCAAUCCAUGUGGAUUGAGAGCUAACCGAACAAGCACUUAGUUGGAUUAGUAAAUCCAUUAGAUCGAUUUUGAAGACUUAAUGUAGUUUGCUGAAAUAGUUUUGCAGAUGGAUUGAAGACUUAAUUGUCAGAAAAGAAGGUGGGUUGUUUGAGAAUAUAGAAGAUAAUCUGAAAAUGUUUGAUAUUCCACCUAGCUUUUGUGUUCUUUUUCUACGGACAAAGAAAAACUUCGAUGAUGACGAUUUCACAUUAAAGGAGAGGUUUGAUAGUGGACAGAGCAGGGCACAUUACGUAUUCAUGCCCUUGUGUAAUGAGGGUCAUUGUUCAUGUUAUAGAAUGGUAGUGCAAGGGUCCAAUAUGACAUUGCCUAAGGUUUUGGUGGAGAAUGGAUAUAGAAGGUCCUUUGAUGGUCUUAUAGUCGAUGAACAACAAUAUAGAACCAAUGAAGAUGCAACACCAGACAACCUAGGAGCCACUUAAGGUUUCUCUAAUGAAAGUUGGUGAAUCAAUUCAUUGUUCAGGAAGCUUCUCAACAAUAGCUUUUGACAUUGGUUCAUAUGGGCAAUACAGGUGGGAGGAAAAGAUUGUUGAUGAUGAUAACAACAAUUCAUAUGAUUCUGAAGAAAAGGAUUACAAUUACGAAGAAUGUACCUCAACAGAGGGACUCAACUGUUACUUAGGAUCGAUGGAUGAUAGAGUGGUCAUAGAUAUGUCCAUUCAUACUCAUGGUUAGUGAGUACACUUCAUGUGAGAGGUUAGGCGAAGCACAACAGUACAUUCACCUAAGCCUUGCAUAGCUACUAAUAUGUGACAAUUAAACUCAAUAAACAUUGAUUUUUGUGGCAUUCCACACUACAGGGACAUUCGAAUGACAGGUAAGGUCAUUCACGACACCAGUCUACAAUUAUGUAAGAAAUAAUCAUACGACCCUUGGGAUGGGACAAUUAGUAGCAUGGUAUUCAAUACAUUGUCUAUGUUCAAGCCCUUUCUUCAGGACUAUAUGGUGCAUCACCAUAGACCAGUACACAUUCAAAUCAAAAUAGGAGUUACUACAUGGUAUGCAAGAAAGGUUGUCUUUGGAGGGUUUGAGAUCAUAAGAAGUCCAUUGAUGGAAAAUGGAGGAUAACGAAAGUGGUUCAACCACACACAUGUCUAAUAAAUAAGGGAAAGAGUGCAUUCUCAUCUCAUGGCACAUUAUCUAGCCAGUCACAUAUUGGGCCUCAUAGAUGAGGAUACAAUAUUUCUAUGGUGGUGUUGAUUUGUUUCAUAGUGGGCUUCAAAGGUUACACUCUUAAGCAUGAAAAUAGUUUGGCAUGUGAAAGGGAAAUAGGGAUUAACCUUUUCCUAUAAAUAAUUUUGGUGGUUGAAUUGCCAACACAAAUAAUUGGACUAACUAGUUUGAUCUAGAUUAUAUAUUCUACAGGUGCAUAAAGGUCCAACACAAUCCAAUAAAAGAUCAAAGUUAGGGUUCAAAAGAAAGGAGCAAAAGAAACCGAAGAGUACCCUGGUCUGGCGCACCGGACUGUUCGGUGUGCCACCGGACAGUGUCCAGUGCACCAGGGUCGUACGACUCUGAACCUUCACCUUUGGGUUUCUCAGGCGUCGCUCCGCUAUAAUUCACCAUACUGUCCGGUGUGCCACCGGACUAUCCGGUGCACCAGCGGAGCAAUGGCUAUCAGCGCAACGGUCGACUGCACAGUGCCCCUGACAGCGCUACAGUUUGUGGCAGAAGUCAGAGCAGAGGCCAGAGGCGCACCGGACAGUGAACAGUGCCUGUCCGGUGCGGCACCGGACUGUCCGGUGCCACCAGAAGUCAGUGCUCCAACGGUCGACUCCGUCAGAACCCUAACGGUUGGGUGACGUGGCUGGCGCACCGGACUGUCCGGUGCGCCCAUCGACAGCAGCCACCCCAACAGUUGUUUUAGUGGUUGAGGGCUAUAAAUACCCCCAACCAUCCAAGCAUUCAACACUCUCCAUUCAAUACAAGAUCAAAGUGCAACACUCCAAAGACACAAUUCAAGUGAUCAAUCCAAUCAAAGUUCCCGAUUCAAAUCUAGUGCAUUAGAACUUGUGAGAGGAUCAUUUGUGUUUCUUUGUUGCUCUUGUUUGCUUGGCUUGGCUUUCUUUUCUUUCUCACUUCUUACUCUCAAGUGCUUUGUAAGAGAGGCAAGAGACACCAAUUGUGUGGUGAUCCUUGCGGGAUCUAAGUGACCCGUGAGAUUAAGGAAGAAGCCUCACUCGGUCUAGGUGACCGUUUGAGAGAGGGAAAGGGUUGAAAGAGACCCGAUCUUUGUGACCACCUCAACGGGGACUAGGUUCUUUAGGACGAUGCAUUAAAUGCUUUAUAGCCAUUGAUAUAGCCGUUACUGCUGACCGUUGCGAUUUUAGCCGUUGAUGUGCAGGGGCGGACCGUCCGAACUAGGGGCGCGGACCGUCCAUGGUUGGCAGAAAGUGAGCAACGGCUAGGAAGUGGUUGGCGGCUAUAAAUACAACCACAACCACCUCCAUUCACUUUACCCAAGCACUCCAAUCCUUCACAUUCAAUACAAGAGCUAGCAAUCCAUUCAAAGACACAAUCAAAGCUUCCAAUCUCUCCAAGUUCCACAAUUAAGACAAGUGAUCAUUAGUGAUUAAUGACUUGAGAGAGAGUGUGUGAUCUGUGUAUUAUUUGUCGCUCUUGUUGCUUGACUUUUGCAAUCGUGCUUUCUUCUUAUCCCAUUCUUAUUCUCAAGUGACAUGUAAUCAAAGCAAGAGAUACCAAGUGUGUGGUGGUCCUUGCGGGGUCUAAGUGGCCCGUUUGAUUAAGGAGAAAGCUCACUCGGUCUAAGUGACCGUUUGAGAGAGGGAAAGGGUUGAAAGAGACCCGGUCUUUGUGACCACCUCAACGGGGACUAGGUUCUUUGGAACCAAACCUCGGUAAAACAAAUCACCGUGUUCAUCCUCUUUAUUUCUUGGUUGAUUUGUUUUCCCUCUCUUUCGGACUCGGAUUUAAUUCUAACGCUAACCCCGACUUGUAGUGUGUGCUUAAGUUUGUAAAUUUCAGAUUCCGCUUAUCCACACCCUCUAGGCGACUUUCAAUUGGUAUCAGAGCCUGGUGCUUCAUUAGAGUUUAACAACUCGAAGUGAUGUCGGGAGAUCACGCCAAGAGGGAGAUGGAAACGACCACAAGCAACGGGGAGGCUCCAUCAAGGGAGUCCGGCGCCAAAGGAAGGGAGGAAUCACGUCCCCGCGUCAAGUCACACUUGAGUGGCGACAAAAAGAAGAAAAAUGAAGAAAGUGGUCUACUACGAGACCGAUUCUUCGUCACCCUCCACAUCUGGCUCCGACGCGUCGUCCGUCACUUCUAAGCGCCAUGAGUGCAAGAAGUUUAGUAAGAUCCCCUUACGCUAUCCUCGCAUCUCUAAACACACUCCUUUACUUUCCGUCCCAUUAGGCAAACCAUCGGUUUUUGAUGGUGAAGAUUAUUGUAUGUGGAGUGAUAAAAUGAGGCAUCAUCUAACCUCACUCCAUGCAAGCAUAUGGAAUAUUGUUGAGUUUGGAGCGCAAGUACCAUCCGUAGGGGAUGAAGGAUAUGAUUCGGACGAGGUCACCCAAAUCCGGCACUUUGACUCCCAAGCAACUACUAUACUCCUCGCCUCCUUGUGUCGAGAGAAGUAUAAUAAGGUGCAAGGGCUAAAAAGUGCCAAAGAGAUUUGUGAUGUACUAAAGACCGUGCACGAAGGGGAUGAGGUGACCAAGAUCACCAAGCAGGAGACGAUCGAGGGGGAGCUCAGUCGAUUCGUCCUCAUCCAAGGAGAGGAGCCACAAGCCAUGUACAACCGACUUAAGACCUUGGUGAUAUAUUCAAGUGCGCAACCUCGGGAGCACAAAAUGGGAUGACCAUGAAAUGGUCAAGGUUAUUCUAAGAUCACUCGUUUUUCGUAAUCCUACACAAGUUCAAUUAAUACGUGGUGAUCCUAGAUAUAAUCUAAUGUCUCCCGAGGAAGUGAUAGGAAAGUUUGUGAGCUUUGAGUUGAUGAUCAAAGGCUCCAAACAAAUCGCCGAGCAAGGCGGCACCUCCACACCCGAGGUGCAACCCGUCGCAUUCAAAGCGACGGAGGAAAAGAAAGAAGAGUCUACAUCAAGUAGGCUCCCCAUCGACACCUCCAAGCUCGACAAUGAGGAGAUGUCGCUCAUCAUCAAGAGCUUCCGUCAAAUCCUCAAGCAAAGAAGGGGGAAGGACUACAAACCCCGCUCCAAGAAGGUGUGCUAUAAGUGUGGUAAGCCCGAUCAUUUUAUCGCUAAAAGCCCUAUAUCUAGUGAUAGUGACAGGGACAACGACAAGAAGGGGAGGAAAAAGGAAAAGAAGAAUUACUACAAGAAGAAGGGCGGCGAUGCCCAUGUGUGUCAGGAAUGGGACUCCGAUGAGAGCUCCACCGACUCCUCCUCCGACGAGGAUGCCGCCAACAUUGCCGUCAACAAGGGCCUCCUCUUCCCCAACGUCGUCCACAAGUGCCUCAUGGCAAAGGACGACAAGAAAAACAAGGUACAAGCUAGAACCACCCCAAGUAUACUACAUCUAGUGAUGAGGGUAGCUCUAGUGAUGAUGAAGAUAACUUGCUUAGUCUUUUUGCCAACCUUAACAUGCAACAAAAAGAAAAAUUAAAUAAAUUGAUAGGAGCUAUUCAUGAGAAGGAUGAACUCUUGGAUAGCCAAGAGGAAUUCCUUAUUAAGGAAAAUAAGAAGCAUGUUAAGGUGAAGAAUGCUUAUGCUCAGGAAAUGGAGAAAAAAUGAAAAUUUGACUAAAGAGCUUAGCAUUUGCCAUGACACCAUUUCCAACCUUAGAACUAAGAAUGUUAAUUUGAGUGCUAAGGUUGAAAAAUCAAAUAUUUGUCAUGAUUCAAUUAUCAAUCUUAAAAAUGAUAAUGCUAGUUUAAUUGCUAAGAUUGAUAAAUUGAAUGAAUCAAUUGCUAGCCUUAAACUGAGAAUGAAAAGUUAAUUUCCAAAGCUAAAGAUUUAAAUGUUUGCAAUGAAUCUAUUUCCUAUCUCAGAGAUGAAAAUGCUAUGCUAAAAUCUAAGAUAGAUAAAUUAAAUGUUUGCAAACCUUCUACAUCUAGUGUUGAUCAUGUUACUAUUUGUACUAGAUGUAGAGAUAUAAAUGUUGAUGCUAUCCAUGAUCACCUUGCCUUAAUUAAACAACAAAAUGAUCACAUAGCUCAACUAACUACUAAAAUUAAUGAGCAUGAGAUAGAAAAUGAAAAAUUUAAAUUUGCUAGAAGCAUGCUCUAUAGUGGGAGACACCCUGGCAUUAAGGAUGGCAUUGGUUUCCAAUAGUGAAGCAUUGUCAAGCUUAAUGCCCCUAAGAAAUUGUCUAGUUUUGUUAAGGGCAAGGCUCCCAUGGCUCAGGAUAACGAGUGUUACAUUUUAUAUCCUACUGGUUAUCCCGAGCACAAGAUUAGGAGAAUUCAUGCUAGGAAGUCUCAUUCUGUUUCUCACCAUGCUUAUAUGUAUAAGAAUGAGGAAUCUAGCUCUAGGCAUUCCACUCAUAUUAAAAUGCCUAAAAAGAAAACUCCUACUGCAUCAAGUGAACCUAAUGUUUCAUUCAAAACUUUUGAUGCUUCAUAUGUGCUUACUAACAAAUCAGGCAAAGUAGUUGCCAAAUAUGUUGGGGGGCAAACACAAGGGCUCCAAGACUUGUGUUUGGGUACCCAAGGUGCUUGUUUCUAACAUGAAAGGACCCAAGACUGUUUGGGUACCUAAGAACAAGGCCUAAAUUGUUUUGCAGGUUUAUGCAUCCGGGGGCUCAAGUUGGAUUAUUGAUAGCGGAUGCACAAACCACAUGACAUGGAAGAAAAGGAUGUUCUCCUCCUAUGAGAAAAACGAAGAUCCCCAAAGAGCCAUCACAUUCGGGGAUGGAAAUCAAGGUUUGGUCAAAGGACUUGGUAAAAUUGCUAUAUCACCUGACCAUUCUAUUUCCAAUGUUUUUCUUGUAGAUUCUUUAGAUUACAAUUUGCUUUCUAUAUCUCAAUUAUGCAAAAUGGGUUACAACUGUCUUUUUACGGAUAUAGGUGUUACUGUCUUUAGAAGAAGUGAUGAUUCAGUAGCAUUUAAGGGAGUACUCGAGGGUCAGCUAUACUUAGUUGAUUUUAAUAGAGCUGAACUCGAUACUUGCUUAAUUGCUAAGACUAAUAUGGGUUGGCUCUGGCAUCACCGACUAGCCCAUGUUGGGAUAAAGAAUCUUCACAAGCUUCUAAAGGGAGAACACAUUUUGGGACUAACCAAUGUUCAUUUUGAGAAAGACAGGGUUUGUACCGCAUGUCAAGCAGGAAAGCAAGUUGGAGCCCAUCAUCCACACAAGAACAUCAUGACGACCGACAGGCCGCCUGAGCUACUCCACAUGGAUUUAUUCGGCCCAAUUGCUUACAUAAGCAUCGACGGGAGUAAGUAUUGUCUUGUAAUUGUGGAUGACUAUUCUCGCUUCACUUGGGUGUUCUUUUUGCAGGAAAAAUCACAGACCCAAGAAACUUUAAAGGGAUUCUUGAGACAGGCUCAAAAUGAGUUCGGAUUGAGAAUAAAAAAGAUAAGAAGCGACAAUGGGACAGAGUUCAAGAACUCACAAAUAGAAGGAUUUUUUGAGGAGGAAGGCAUCAGGCAUGAGUUCUCUUCUCCCUACAGACCUCAACAAAAUGGUGUAGUGGAGAGGAAGAAUAGAACUUUAUUGGACAUGGCAAGGACCAUGCUUGAUGAGUACAAGACUCCGGACCAGUUCUGGGCUGAGGCGAUUAACACAGCCUGCUACUCCAUCAACCGGCUCUACCUCCACCGAAUCCUCAAGAAGACAUCUUAUGAACUCCUCACUCGUAAAAAAGCCCAAUGUUUCAUAUUUUAGAAUCUUUGUAGCAAAUGUUUUAUUCUUGUUAAAAGAGGAAGAAAAUCUAAAUUUGCUCCUAAGGCUGUAGAAGGCUUUUUACUAGGAUAUGAUUCAAACAUAAGGGCAUAUAGAGUCUUCAACAAGUCCACUGGAUUAGUUGAGGUUUCUUGUGACAUUGUGUUUGAUGAGACUAAUGGCUCCCAAAUGGAGCAAGUUGAUCUUGAUGAAUUAGAUGAUGAAGAGGCUCCAUGCGUCGCGCUAAGAAACAUGUCCAUAGGGGAUGUGUGUCCUAAGGAACCCAAAGAGCAAAUUCAAGCACAAGAUCAACCAUCAUCUUCCAUGCAAGCAUCCCCUCCAACUCAAGAUGAGGAUCAGGCUCAAGACAAUGAAGAUGAAGAUCAAGAGGAUGAGCCACCUCAAGAGGAGGACAAUGAUCAUGGGGGAGAGGACAAUGAUCAUGGGGGAGAUGACAAUGAUCAAGACAAGGAAGAUGAUCAAGAAGUACAGGGUCCAAGACUGCCACACCCAAGAGUCCACCAGGCGAUUCAAAGAGAUCACCCCAUGAACUCCAUCCUCGGCGAUAUUCAAAAGGGGGUAACCACUCGAUCUCGAGUCACUCAUUUUUGUGAACAUUACUCUUUUGUUUCCUCUAUUGAACCAUACAAGGUAGAGGAUGCACUAAGAGAUUCAGAUUAGGUGUUGGCAACACAAGAGGAGUUCAACAACUUCACGAGGAAUGAGGUAUGGCAUUUAGUUCCACGUCCUAACCAAAAUGUUGUAGGAACCAAGUGGGUAUUCCACAACAAGCAAGAUGAGCAUGGUGUGGUGACAAGGAACAAAGCCCGACUUGUGGCCAAAGGAUAUUCACAAGUCGAAGGUUUGGAUUUUGAUGAAACCUAUGCACCCGUAGCUAGGCUUGAGUCAAUUCGUAUAUUACUUGCCUAUGCUACUCACCAUGUCUUUAAGCUUCAUCAAAUAGACGUGAAGAGUGCCUUCCUCAAUGGACCAAUCAAGGAAGAGGUCUAUGUUGAGCAAUCUCCUGGCUUUUAAGAUAGUGAGUACCCUAACCACGUUAAUAAACUCUCAAAGGCGCUUUAUGGGCUCAAGCAAGCCCCAAGAGCAUGGUAUGAAUGCCUGCAAGAUUUUCUUAUCACUAAUGGCUUCAAAGUCGGUAAAGCUGAUCCUACUCUCUUUACUAAAACUAUUGCAAAAGAAACCGAAGAGUACCCUGGUCUAGCGCACCAGAUUGUCCAGUGUGCCACCAGAUAGUGUCCGGUGCACCAGGAUCGUACGACUCUAAACCCUUCACCUUCAGGUUUCUCAGGCGUCGCUCUGCUAUAAUUCACUGGACUGUCCAGUGUGCCAUCGGACUGUCUGAUGCACCAGUGGAGCAACGGCUAUCAGCGCAACGGUCGACUGCACAGUGCCCCUGACAGCGCUACAGUUCACGGCAGAAGUCAGAGCAGAGGUCAGAGGCGCACCGGACAGUAAACAGUGCCUGUCCGGUGCGGCACCGGACUGUCCGGUGCCACCAGAAGUCAGCGCUCCAACGGCCGACUCCGUCAUAACCCUAACGGUUGGGUGACGUGGCUGGCGCACCGGACCGUCCGGUGCGCCCAUCGACAGCAGCCACCCCUAACGGUUGUUUUGGUGGUUGAGGGCUAUAAAUACCCCCCAACCACCUCCACUCCAACCAUCCAAGCAUUCAACACUCUCCAUUCAAUACAAGAGCAAAGUGCAACACUCCAAAGACACAAUUCAAGUGAUCGAUCCAAUCAAAGUUCCCGAUUCAACUCUAGUGCAUUAGAACUUGUGAGAGGAUCAUUUGUGUUUCUUUGUUGCUCUUGUUUGCUUGGCUUGACUUUCUUUUCUUUCUCACUUCUUACUCUCAAGUGCUUUGUAAGUGAGGCAAGAGACACCAAUUGUGUGGUGAUCCUUGCGGGGUCUAAGUGACUCGUGAGAUUAAGGAAGAAGCCUCACUCGGUCUAGGUGACCGUUUGAGAGAGGGAAAGGGUUGAAAGAGACCCGAUCUUUGUGACCACCUCAACGGAGACUAGGUUCUUUAGAACCAAACCUCGGUAAAACAAAUCACUGUGUUAUCCACUUUAUUUUCUUGGUUGAUUUGUUUUCCCCUAUCUCCUAGACUCGGUUUUAUUCUAAAGCUAACCCCGGUUUGUAGUGUGCUUAAAGUUGUAAAUUUCAGUUUCCGCCUAUCCACCCCCCUCUAGGAAACUUUCAAUUGGUAUCAGAGCCCAUUACUUCAUUAGAGUCUAACCACUCGAAGUGAUGUCGGGAGGAUCCGCCAAGAGGGAGAUGAAAACGGGUACAAGCCACGGGAAGGCUCCAUCAAAGGAGUCCGGCGCCAACCUCCUCUCCCACCUCUCUCUCUCUCCCCCUGUGGUGCCCUAGGUCUUGGAGACGGUGAUCGACAGAAUUUGGAUCCUCGAGGUGAGCUCCCCUCCCCCCUCUCUCUCUUUCUCCCAAGCGGCCCCGCACCCCGGCGGCUCGCCGUGGCCCCGCGCCCCUGGCCGGCGGCGGCUCUCCCCAGCGGCCCUGCAUGCCCGUGCCCUAGCGGCCCCACGCCCCGGCGUCCCGCGCCCCAGCGGCUCUCGCCCCGGCGGCCCCGCGUCCCGCGCUCCAGCGGCCUGCGCCCCCCCCCCGGCGGCCUCUGCCCCCGUCGCGCGCCCGCGCGCCCCGGCAGCUCGGCCCCGGCGUCCCGCGUCCCGCACGCCCGGCCCCGCGGCCCGGCGUCCCAUGCGCUCGCCCCCCUGCGCCGCAUCCCGCGCGCCCCAGCGGCUCGGCCCCCCCGCGUCGCGCCCCUGCGCCCCAGUGGCUUGCCCCGCGCGCCCCCGUGCCCCGGUGGCGGUUCGGCCCCACGCGCCCCCGCGCCUUGCGCCCCGCGGCCCCGCGCCCUGGCGGCCCUGCCCCGUGUCCCGGCGUGGCCUCGCGUGCCCCCGGUGCGCGCAGCGUGUUCGCGCGCGCACGACUGUAGUUGCGCGGCGUUCGACUUUCAGCUUAAUCCCUUUUUCAAUUUUAGUUUAGUCGAUGUGAUUGAGAGCACCUAGAGGGGGGGGGUGAAUAGGUGAUCCUGUAAAACUUAAACUUAUAGCCACAAAACUUGUUAAGUGUUAGCACAAUUAUUGCCAAGUGGCUAGAGAGGAGUCAGAACACAAUAACCACAAGAAAACAAUCACAAAGAUGACACGGUGGUUAUCCCGUGGUUCGGCCAAGUACAACACUUGCCUACUCCACGUUGUGGCGUCCCAACGGACGAGAGUUGCACUCAACUCCUCUCAAGUGAUCCAAUGAUCAACUUGAAUACCACGGUGUUCUUCUUUUCUUAGAUCUUUUCCCGUUUGCGAGGAAUCUCCACAACUUGGAGUCUCUCGCCCUUACAAUUGAGUUUCACAAAGAAGCACGGAGUAAGGGAGGGAAGCAACACACACAAAUCCACAGCAAAAUGCGCACACACACACGGCCAAGACUCGAGCUCAAAAGACUAUCUCGAAGUUCUCACUAGAACGGAGCUCGAAUCACUUAGAAAGACAAACGAAUGCGCAAAGACUGAGUGUGGAUGAUCAAGAUUGCUCUAAGGUUGCUUGGUGUUCUCCUCCAUGCGCCUAGGGGUCCCUUUUAUAGCCCCAAGGCAGCUCGGAGCCGUUGAGAACAAAUCUGGAAGGCCAUCCUUGCCUUCUGUCGUCGGGUGCACCGGACAGUCCGGUGCACACCGGACACUGUCCGGUGCCCGAUUUGUUUCCAUAAACAGCGCAGUCGACCGUUGCAGACCGUUGGAGAUCUGGGAGCCGAUGGCGCACCGGACAGUCCGGUGCACACCGGACAGUCCGGUGCCCCCUUCCGACCGUUGGCUCGGCCACGUGUCUCGCGCAGAUUGCGCGGCCGACCGUUGGCCCUGGCCGACCGUUGGCUCACCGGACAGUCCGGUGCACACCGGACAGUCCGGUGAAUUUUAGCCGUACACCGUCGGCGAAUUCCCGAGAGCGGCGUCUUCAGGCCGAGGCAGCCUGGCGCACCGGACACUGUCCGGUGCACCACCGGACAGUCCGGUGCCCCAGACCGAAACAACCUAUUUGCUGUACACCGCCAACUCUCUUCUUUUCUUCUUCUCUCUGUUUCUAACACUUAGAUAAGUACAUUAGUAUACAAAACCAAUGUACUAAGGCUUAGAAACAUACCUUUGCUUGUGAUUUGCACUUUGUUAAUCCAUGGGCAUAGAUUCACAAUUAAGCACUUGUGUUGGCACUCAAUCACCAAAAUACUUAGAAAUGGCCCAAAGGCACAUUUCCCUUUCAAUCUCCCCCUUUUUGGUGAUUUAUGCCAACACAACAUAAAGCAACUAGAACAAGUGCAAAAACACUUCAAAUAGAACUCAAAUCUAUUUUGAUUCAUUUUUGGCAUAUAUGGAUCAUCCUUUGCCACCACUUGGUUUGUUUUUGUAAAUCAAACUCAAAUCUCUAUCUCUAAGUCAAACACUCAUGUUGAAGCAUAAAGAGAGUCAUUUCAAAAGAGAUUGAUCAAAAGAUUUCAAAAACUCCCCCUAUUUCCCAUAAUCAAUACUUCUCCCCACAAGAAGCCAACUUUUGACGAAAGAGAUAAUGCAAGAGUUUUGAACAAACCAAAAAACAAACCAAAAAGCUCUAUUCUACUAUUUUCAAAAUCUCUCAAGUGGUAGCUGAUCCAUUUAUCACUUUGGCCUUUAUUUUCUCCCCCUUUGGCAUCAAGCACCAAAACGGGAUCAAUCUUGGACCUUUUAACCCCAUUGCCUCACCAAAAUCUUCAAUAAGAAUACAAAGGCAAUAAGAGUUCAUGAGAUGAACUUGGAAUAGGUUACCCUCUCAUCGGAGUGCAGUGGAAGUCUUUCAUGGUCCAAGUCCACCUUUUCCCUUUCAAUUCUUCUUCGAGACUAAGUCAAACAAACUCAAGCAUAUGGUUAGUCUCAAAGGGUCAAGUUGUAAACAUCUCCCCCUAAAACUUUGCAUUACUUUGCAACGGACUUGUGAGGUCCAGGGAGUGUUUGUACAACUUGAGCACCACAAUAAGCAACAAAAUGCAGAAGGAACAUGAUCAAGGCAUAAACACGUGUAUGCUACAAUUCAAUCCAAGUUCCGCGAAUCUAAGACAUUUAGCUCACUACGCAACCUGCAAAAGGUCUUCUCAUCUAGAGGCUUGGUAAAGAUAUCGGCUAGCUGGUUCUCGGUGCUAACAUGAAACACUUCGAUAUCUCCCUUUUGCUGGUGAUCUCUCAGAAAGUGAUGCCGGAUGUCUAUGUGCUUUGUGCGGCUGUGUUCAACAGGAUUUUCCGCCAUGCGGAUAGCACUCUCAUUAUCACAUAGGAGUGGGACUUUGCUCAGAUUGUAGCCAAAGUCCCUGAGGGUUUGCCUCAUCCAAAGUAGUUGCGCGCAACACUGUCCUGCGGCAACGUACUCGGCCUCAGCGGUGGAUAGGGCAACGGAGGUUUGUUUCUUAGAUUUCCAUGACACCAAGGACCUUCCUAAGAAUUGGCACGUCCCCGAUGUACUCUUCCUAUCGACCUUACAUCCAGCAUAAUCGGAGUCUGAAUAUCCAAUUAGGUCAAAGGUAGACCCCUUUGGAUACCAGAGCCCGAGGCAAGGCGUAGCAACUAAAUAUCUAAGGAUUCGCUUCACCGCCACUAAGUGACACUCCUUAGGAUCGGAUUGAAAUCUAGCACACAUGCAUACGCUAAGCAUAAUAUCCGGUCUACUAGCACAUAAGUAAAGCAAAGAACCUAUCAUGGACCGGUAUGCUUUUUGAUCAACGGACUUACCUCCUUUGUUGAGGUCGGUGUGUCCGUCGGUUCCCAUCGGUGUCUUUGCGGGCUUGGCGUCCUUCAUCCCAAACCGCUUUAGCAGGUCCUGCGUGUACUUCGUUUGGGAGAUGAAGGUGCCGUCCUUGAGUUGCUUCACUUGGAACCCAAGGAAGUAGUUCAACUCGCCCAUCAUUGACAUCUCGAAUUUCUGCGUCAUCACCCUGCUAAACUCUUCACAAGACUUUUUAUUAGUAGAACCAAAUAUUAUGUCAUUGACAUAAAUUUGGCACACAAAUAAAUCACCAUCGCAUGUCUUAGUGAAAAGAGUUGGAUCGGCUUUCCCAACCUUGAAAGCAUUAGCAAUUAAGAAAUCUCUAAGGCAUUCAUACCAUGCUCUUGGGGCUUGCUUAAGUCCAUAGAGCGCCUUAGAGAGCUUACACACGUGGUCGGGGUACCGUUCAUCCUCGAAGCCAGGGGGUUGCUCCACGUACACCUCCUCUUUUAUUGGCCCGUUGAGGAAAGCGCUCUUCACAUCCAUUUGGAACAACCUGAAAGAAUGGUGAGCGGCAUAUGCUAGCAAGAUACGAAUGGACUCUAGCCUAGCCACAGGAGCAAAUGUCUCCUCAAAGUCCAAACCUGCGACUUGGGCAUAACCUUUUGCCACAAGUCGAGCCUUGUUCCUUGUCACCACCCCGUGCUCGUCCUGUUUAUUGCGGAACACCCACUUGGUUCCCACAACAUUUUGCUUGGGACGAGGCACCAGUGUCCAAACUUCAUUGCGCUUGAAGUUGUUUAACUCCUCUUGCAUGGCCAACACCCAGUCCGGAUCUAGCAAGGCCUCUUCUACCCUGAAAGGCUCAAUAGAAGAGACAAAGGAGUAAUGCUCACAAAAAUUAACUAAUCGAGAUCGAGUAGUUACUCCCUUGCUAAUGUCACCCAGAAUUUGGUCGACGGGAUGAUCCCUUUGAAUCAUCGCUCGAACUUGGGUUGGAGGUGCUGGUUGCGCUUCUUCCUCCAUCACAAGAUCAUCUUGUGCUCUCCCUUGAUCACACGCCUCCUGUUGAUGAACCUGUUCAUUGUCUUGAGUUGGGGGAUGCACCAUUGUUGAGGAAGAAGGUUGAUCUUGCUUUUCUUGUUCCUGUGGUCGCACAUCACCAAUCGCCAUGGUUCGUAUAGCGGCCGUCGGAACAUCUUCUUCAUCUACAUCAUCAAGAUCAACAUCUUGCUCUCUUGGAGAGCCAUUAGUCUCAUCAAAUACAACGUCGCUAGAGACUUCAACCAAACCCGAUGAUUUGUUAAAGACUCUAUACGCCUUUGUAUUUGAGUCAUAACCUAACAAAAACCCUUCUACAGCUUUGGGAGCAAACUUAGAAUUUCUACCCUUCUUCACUAGAAUGUAGCACUUGCUCCCAAAAACACGAAAGUAAGAUACAUUGGGUUUGUUACCGGUUAGUAGCUCAUACGACGUCUUCUCGAGGAGGCGAUGAAGGUAGACCCUGUUGAUGGCGUGGCAAGCCGUGUUCACGGCUUCCGUCCAAAAGCACUCGGGGGUCUUGAACUCUCCUAGCAUCGUCCUCGCCAUAUCGAUGAGUGUUCUGUUCUUCCUCUCUACCACACCAUUUUGCUGUGGUGUGUAGGGAGCGGAGAACUCGUGCUUGAUCCCUUCAUCCUCAAGAAACACCUCCACUUGAAGGUUCUUGAACUCGGACCCGUUGUCGCUCCUUAUCUUCUUCACCUUGAGCUCAAACUCAUUUUGAGCCCUCCUGAGGAAGCGCUUGAGGGUCCCUUGGGUUUCAGACUUAUCCUGCAAAAAGAACACCCAAGUGAAGCGGGAAAAAUCAUCAACAAUAACUAGACCAUACUUACUUCCUCCUAUACUCAGAUAGGCGACGGGUCCGAAGAGGUCCAUAUGCAGCAGCUCCAGGGGUCUUGAAGUGGUCAUCACAUUCUUGCUGUGAUGUGCUCCUCCCACUUGUUUACCUGCCUGACAAGCUGCACAAGGUCUAUCUUUUUCGAAUUGCACAUUAGUUAAUCCUAUCACGUGUUCCCCCUUUAGAAGCUUGUGAAGGUUCUUCAUCCCUACAUGUGCUAAGCGGCGAUGCCACAGCCAGCCCAUGCUAGUCUUAGCUAUUAAGCAUGCAUCUAGACCGGCCUCUUCUUUUACAAAAUCAACUAAAUAAAGUUUGCCGUCUAAUACACCCUUAAAAGCUAGUGAACCAUCACUUCUUCUAAAGACAGACACAUCUAUGUUUGUGAAUAAACAAUUAUAUCCCAUAUUGCAUAAUUGACUAACAGAUAGUAAAUUAUAAUCAAGAGACUCUACUAAAAACACAUUUGAAAUAGAAUGCUCAUUAGAAAUUGCAAUUUUACCUAACCCUUUUACCUUGCCUUGAUUCCCAUCACCGAAUAUGAUUGAAUCUUGGGAAUCUUUAUUCUUGACGUAGGAGGUGAACAUUUUCUUCUCCCCCGUCAUAUGGUUUGUGCAUCCGCUGUCGAUAAUCCAGCUUGAACCCCCGGAUGCAUAAACCUGCAAGGCAAAUUUAGGCUUGGGUCUUAGGUACCCAACUCAUGUUGGGUCCUACAAGGUUAGCACAAAUAUUCUUAGGAACCCAAAUGCAAGUUUUGUCUCCCUUGCAUUUUGCCCCUAAUUUCCUAGCAACAAUUUUCUUAUCCUUUCUACAAAUAGCAAAGGAAGCAUUUAAAGCACAAUAAAUUGUAGAAGGUUCAUUCACUACUUUCCUAGGAGCAUGAAUAACAUUCUUUCUAGGUAUAUGAUGAAUAGCAUUUCUACCAUGCAUAUAAGAAGAGCUAGAAGCAAUCAUGUGAUGAGAAUCAAAAUCAUCAUAAGCAUUGUAAUUCCUAUAAGCAUUUCUAGUUUGUCUCCUAUCAUGAUACAAAAAGGCAUGGUUCUUUUUAGCACUAGUAGCCAUAGGGGCCUUCCCUUUCUCCUUAGCGGGAAUGGGAGCCUUAUGGCUUGUUAAGUUCUUGGCUUCCCUCUUGAAGCCAAGUCCAUCCUUAAUUGAGGGGUGUCUACCGAUCGUGUAGGCAUCCCUUGCAAAUUUUAGUCUAUCAAAUUCAUUCUUACUAGUCUUAAGUUGGUCAUUAAGACUAGCCAAUUCCUUAGUUAAUUUAGAAAUUGAGACUAAAUGAUCACUACAAGCAUCAACAUCGAAAUCUUUACACCUAGUGCAAAUCUCAACAUGUUCUACACAAGAAUUAGAUUUACUAGCUACUUCUAGUUUAGCAUUUAAGUCGUCAUUAAUUCUCUUUAGAGUAGCAAUGGUUUCAUGACAAGAAGAUAGUUCACUAGAAAGCACUUUAUUUCUUUUAACUUCUAAAGCAUAAGAUUUUUGUGCCUCUACAAAUUUGUCAUGCUCUUCAUACAAAAGGUCCUCUUGUUUUUCUAAGAGUCUAUCUUUUUCAUUCAAGGCAUCAAUUAAUUCAUUAAUUUUAUCUACUUUAGUUCUAUCCAAUCCCUUGAACAAACUAGAGUAAUCUAUUUCAUCAUCACUAGACUCAUUAUCACUGGAAGAAUCAUAAGUGACAUUGUCUUGAUUACAUACCUUCUUCUCCCUUGCCAUAAGGCAUGUGUGACGCUCGUUGGGGAAGAGGGAUGUCUUGUUGAAGGCAGUGGCGGCGAGUCCUUCAUUGUCGGAGUCGGAGGAGGAGCAAUCCGAAUCCCACUCCUUUCCGAUAUGUGCCUCGCCCUUGGCCUUCUUGUAAUGCUUCUUCUUUUCCCUCUUGCUCCCGUGAUCCUGGUCACUAUCAUUGUCGGGACAGUUAGCAAUAAAAUGACCAAGCUUACCGCAUUUGAAGCAUGAUCGCUUUCCCUUGGUCUUAGUCUUGCUUGGCUGUCCCUUGCGACCCUUUAGUGCCGUCUUGAAUCUUUUGAUGAUGAGGGCCAUCUCUUCAUCAUUAAGACCGGCCGCCUCAAUUUGCGCCACCUUGCUGGGUAGCGCCUCCUUGCUUCUUGUUGCCUUGAGAGCAAUGGGUUGAGGCUCAUGGAUUGGGCCAUUCAACGCGUCGUCCACGUACCUCGCCUCCUUAAUCAUCAUUCGCCCGCUUACAAAUUUUCCAAGAAUUUCUUCGGGCGACAUCUUGAUGUACCUAGGAUUUUCACGAAUAUUGUUCACCAAGUGAGGAUCAAGAACGGUAAAUGACCUUAGCAUUAGGCGGACGACGUCGUGAUCCGUCCAUCGCGUGCUUCCGUAGCUCCUUAUUUUGUUGAUAAGGAUCUUGAGCCGGUUAUAUGUUUGUGUCGGCUCCUCGCCCCUUAUCAUCGCGAAUCGUCCGAGCUCGCCCUCCACCAACUCCAUCUUGGUGAGUAAGGUGACAUCAUUUCCCUCAUGAGAGAUCUUGAGGGUGUCCCAAAUCUGCUUGGCAUUGUCCAAGCCGCUCACUUUGUGAUACUCGUCCCUGCACAAAGAGGCUAGCAACACAGUAGUAGCUUGUGCAUUUUUAUGGAUCUGUUCAUUUAUAAACGAAGGGCUAUCCGAGCUAUCAAAUUUCAUUCCACUUUCCACAAUCUCCCAAAUGCUUGGAUGGAGAGAAAAUAGGUGAGUACGCAUUUUGUGACUCCAAAAUCCGUAGUCCUCUCCAUCAAAGUGAGGAGGCUUGCCAAGUGGAAUGGGGAGCAAAUGAGCAUUUGAGCUAUGCGGAAUGCGCGAAUAAUCAAAAGAAAAGUUUGAGUUAACCGUCUUUUGUUUGUAGUCGUUGUCCUCAUCCUUUUGGGAAGAAGUAGACUCAUCGCUGUCGUAGUAGACGAUCUCCUUGAUGCGUCUUGUCUUCUUCUUCUUCCCAUCUUUGCGUCUGUGGCCCGAGCUUGAGUCGUUGGACUUGUCAUCCCUUGGCUCGUUGACGAAGGACUCCUUCUCCUUAUCGUUGAUCACGAUUCCCUUCCCCUUAGGAUCCAUCUCUUCGGGCAGUUAGUCCCUUUCUUGAAGAGAACGGCUCUGAUACCAAUUGAGAGCACCUAGAGGGGGGGGGGGUGAAUAGGUGAUCCUGUAAAACUUAAACUUAUAGCCACAAAACUUGUUAAGUGUUAGCACAAUUAUUGCCAAGUGGCUAGAGAGGAGUCAAAACACAAUAACCACAAGAAAACAAUCACAAAGAUGACACGGUGGUUAUCCCGUGGUUCGGCCAAGUACAACACUUGCCUACUCCACGUUGUGGCGUCCCAACGGACGAGAGUUGCACUCAACUCCUCUCAAGUGAUCCAAUGAUCAACUUGAAUACCACGGUGUUCUUCUUUUCUUAGAUCUUUUCCCGUUUGCGAGGAAUCUCCACAACUUGGAGUCUCUCGCCCUUACAAUUGAGUUUCACAAAGAAGCACGGAGUAAGGGAGGGAAGCAACACACACAAAUCCACAGCAAAAUGCGCACACACACGGCCAAGACUCGAGCUCAAAAGACUAUCUCGAAGUUCUCACUAGAACGGAGCUCGAAUCACUUAGAAAGACAAACGAAUGCGCAAAGACUGAGUGUGGAUGAUCAAGAUUGCUCUAAGGUUGCUUGGUGUUCUCCUCCAUGCGCCUAGGGGUCCCUUUUAUAGCCCCAAGGCAGCUCGGAGCCGUUGAGAACAAAUCUGGAAGGCCAUCCUUGCCUUCUGUCGUCGGGUGCACCGGACAGUCCGGUGCACACCGGACACUGUCCGGUGCCCGAUUUGUUUCCAUAAACAGCGCAGUCGACCGUUGCAGACCGUUGGAGAUCUGGGAGCCGAUGGCGCACCGGACAGUCCGGUGCACACCGAACAGUCCGGUGCCCCCUUCCGACCGUUGGCUCGGCCACGUGUCUCGCGCAGAUUGCGCGGCCGACCGUUGGCCCUGGCCGACCGUUGGCUCACCGGACAGUCCGGUGCACACCGGACAGUCCGGUGAAUUUUAGCCGUACGCCGUCGGCGAAUUCCCGAGAGCGGCGUAUUCAGGCCGAGACAGCCUGGCGCACCGGACACUGUCCGGUGCACCACCGGACAGUCCGGUGCCCCAGACCGAAACAGCCUAUUUGCUGUACACCGCCAACUCUCUUCUUUUCUUCUUCUCUCUGUUUCUAACACUUAGAUAAGUACAUUAGUAUACAAAACCAAUGUACUAAGGCUUAGAAACAUACCUUUGCUUGUGAUUUGCACUUUGUUAAUCCAUGGGCAUAGAUUCACAAUUAAGCACUUGUGUUGGCACUCAAUCACCAAAAUACUUAGAAAUGGCCCAAAGGCACAUUUCCCUUUCAGUGAUGUGUCGCGCGCUUUGUCGCGUGUCAAUUCAUUUUAAAUUCAUCUUUAUUAAUGAUCUGUGUCGCGCGCUUCGUCGCGCGACGUUUCGUUUAAAAUUCAAGUCAGUUGACGUAAGCCGUCGCGUGUUUCGUCGCGCGACGGGUCAUUUAUUUCUUAAUUCAAUUUAAGUGCUGUGUCGCGCGUAUCGCCGCGCGACAAUCCUUUUAAUAUAUCUUAUUCUGUUCAUAAUAAUUAAAUAUGGAACAUGACUUUACCUUAUGCUUAACGCAAUGACUAAAUUAAUACCGUUCUGUUUAGAUGAGUGUUUUAAUUUAUAAUCGUGUGACGUGAUCGCUUCUCGACUGUAGCCUCGACCGUUACUUUCUCUUUCUCGCUUAGUCGUAUGUGUGAGCCCUGCAUCGAACGUCUGUUUAUUUAUUGCAUUUCAUUGUAUGGUGUACUGUUCUUUUGUAUUAAAUAUGUGGAAUGUAUGUUUGAACUCGUAUAGAUAACGGUCAGUUGGCGGAGUCCGAAGGAGUUGCAGGUGAAGACCCUGAGCAGCAGUCGGUUGGUGAAGGGAAGUGUCCCUUGACCCAUCUAUGUCCUACUCAUUCUUAUAAUUCAUUCCCCGCAUUUACACAGUUUAUACCUAAGGAUUGACUAGCUUUUGUCUAUCUUGUCCUUGUUUACCUAUUCUGGUUGGGUUAUUAUGGUUUAGCUUCAUGCUAGUGCUUCACAUUAAUCAAUGAACAUGAUGAGAUUAUCUAUGAUACGAUGUUUUCCCUUUUGAUUAUGAUGAUGGUACUUGUGGCCCUUAAGGGGACUCGAGCUGUUUCUCGAGUGCCUCUCCAUAAGGACCUGUUCGUUGGAUGACCGCCCGGGAAAACAUUGCAACCAUGAGGGUGGAGUGGGACGCCCUUAGCUGAGUAAUUAGAGGAACUGGGGUGUAGUUCGCUUCGCCGUCGUGCUGUUAUUGGGGCUUGGUGUAUGCGGCCCGCUCUGCCAAGGUUGGUUCGCCCCUUGGGGAGGAGUGCGGUGCAUUUAGGAAACCUAACAGGCGGCUACAGCCCUAGGAAAUCUUUGUAAAGGCUAUGUAGUGAGACCCUGCCUAUUCACCUUGGUAGUGUUUAAGGGUUUGAUCGGCCCGAGGCAAGAGGGAAUCACGACUUGUGGGUAAAGUGCGCAACCUCUGCAGAGUGUUAUGAAACUGAUAUAUCAGCCGUGCUCGCGGUUAUGAGCGACCAAGGGAGCUCCAUUGAUUAGAGAUACUUGAUCAGAGAUGUAUGGUUUACAGGUGGUGAUGAGGAUGAUGGUUAUGAUUAUGACUAUGGUACUGGUAAGUGGUAUUCUUUCCGUUUGGAAAGGGUACAACAGGUUAAUAACUUGGGUUAAUGCUAAAACCUGGCUUUCUACUAAUAAAUAAUAACAUGACCAACUAAAAGCAACUGCUUGACUUACCUCCACAUAAAGCUAGUCCACUAUAGCCAAACGGGACAUUUUGCUGAGUAUGUUGAUGUGUACUCACCCUUGCUUUACACACCAAACCCCCCAGGUUGUCUGCGUUGCAACCACUGCUCAGGUGAAGAUGAAGUCGUGGAGGAGGACUUUCAGGAGUUCCAAGAGUACGAUGAGUUCUAGGCGUGGGUUAGUGGCAAACUCUCAGUCGGCUGCCUGUGUAGGCCGUGUGUAUCUAUGUUUCUUUUCCGCACUUUGAUUAUUGUUAAAGACUAUGCGGAUGUCUUGGACAUCAUGAUGUAAUCGACUAUUAUACCCUCUUUUAUGUCACUAUUUGAGCACUGUGUGAUGAUGUCCAGUUAUGUAACUGUUGUGUACGUGAAUUACUGAUCCUGGCACGUACAUGGUUCACAUUCGGUUUGCCUUCUAAAACCGGGUGUGACAUGAUGAGGGUAGCUCUAGUGAAGAUGAAGAUAAUUUGCUUACACUUUUUGCCAACCUUAACAUGCAACAAAAAGAAAAAUUGAAUGAAUUGAUAUGUGCUAUUCAUGAGAAGGAUGAACUCUUGGAUAGCCAAGAGGAAUUCCUUAUUAAGGAAAAUGAAAAGCAUGUUAAGGUGAAGAAUGCUUAUGCUCAGGAAGUAGAGAAAAAUAAAAAUUUGACUAAGGAGCUUAGCAUUUGCCAUGACACUAUUUCCAAACUUAGAACUGAGAAUGUUAGUUUAAUUGCUAAGGUUGAAAAAUCAAAUAUUUGUCAUGAUUCAAUUGUUAGUCUUAGAAAUGAAAAGGCUAGUUUAAUUGCUAAAAUUGAUAAGUUGAAUGAAUCAAUUUCUAGCCUUAGAACUGAGAAUGAUAAUUUAACUUCUAAGGCUAAAAACUUGAAUGUUUGCAAUGAAUCUAUUUCCUAUUUUAGAGAUGAAAAUGCCAUGCUAAAAUCUAAGUUAGAUGAAUCAAAUGUUUGCAAACCCUCUACAUCUACUGUUGAUCAUGUCACUAUUUGUACUAGAUGUAGAGAUGUUAAUGUUGAUGAUAUUCAUGAUCACCUUGUUUUAAUUAAACAAAAAAUGAUCAUAUAGCGCAACUAACUGCAAAAAAUAAUGAGCGUGAGAUAGAAAAUGAAAAAAUUAAAUUUGCUAGAAGCAUGCUCUAUAGUGGGAGACGCCCUGCAUUUAGUUCCACGUCCUAACCAAAAUGUUGUAGGAACCAAGUGGGUAUUCCGCAACAAGCAAGAUGAGCAUGGUGUGGUGACAAGGAACAAAGCUCGACUUGUGGCCAAAGGAUAUUCACAAGUCGAAGGUUUGGAUUUCGAUGAAACCUAUGCACCCGUAGCUAGGCUUGAGUCAAUUCGUAUAUUACUUGCCUAUGUUACUCACCAUGGCUUUAAGCUUUAUCAAAUGGACGUGAAGAGUGCCUUCCUCAAUGGACCAAUCAAGGAAGAGGUCUAUGUUGAGCAACCUCUCGGCUUUGAAGAUAGUGAGUACCCUAACCACGUUUAUAAAUUCUCAAAGGCGCUUUAUGGGCUCAAGCAAGCCCCAAGAGCAUGGUAUGAAUGCCUGUGAGAUUUUCUUAUCACUAAUGGCUUCAAAGUCGGUAAAGUCGAUCCUACUCUCUUUACUAAAACUAUUGCAAAAGAUUUGUUUGUAUGCCAAAUUUAUGUUGAUGAUAUCAUAUUUGGGUCUACUAACAAAUCAACUUGUGAAGAGUUUAGUAGGAUCAUGAUUAAAAAUUCGAGAUGUCUAUGAUGGGGGAGUUGAAGUAUUUCCUAGGAUUUCAAGUCAAGCAACUCCAAGAAGGCACCUUCAUCAGCCAAACAAAGUACAUUCAAGACAUACUUACCAAGUUUGGAAUGAAGGAUGCAAGCCCAUCAAGACACCCAUGGGAACUAAUGGGCAUCUUGACCUCGACACGGGAGGUAAGUCCGUAGAUCAAAAGGUAUACCGAUCGAUGAUAGGAUCUUACUCUAUUUAUGUGCAUCACGACCGAACAUUAUUCUUUCCGUAUGCAUGUGUGCAAGGUUCCAAGCCGGUCCUAAGGAAGUUCACCUUAGGGUCGUGAAAAGAAUCAUGAGAUAUUUAGAUUACACUCCUAAGUUUGGUCUUUGGUACCCCAAGGGAUCCACCUUUGAUUUAAUAGGAUAUUCAGAUGCUGAUUGGGUAGGGUGUAAAAUUGAUAGGAAGAGCACAUUAGGAACUUGUCAGUUUCUGGGGAGAUCCCUGGUGUCUUUGGCUUCAAAGAAACAAAACUCAAUAGCUCUUUCUACCGCCGAAGUCGAGUAUAUUGCCGCACGCCAUUGUUGUGCGCAAUUACUUUGGAUGAGGCAAACCCUCAGGGACUAUGGCUACAAAUUGAGCAAAGUCCCUCUCCUAUGUGACAAUGAGGGUGCAAUCCGCAUGGCGGAUAAUCCCAUUGAACACAGCCGCACUAAGCACAUAGACAUUCAGUAUCACUUUUUAAGGGAUCACCAACAAAGGGGGAUAUCGAGAUAGCUUAUGUUAGCACCAAAGAACAAUUAGCUGAUAUCUUUACCAAACCAUUAGAUGAGAAAACUUUUAGCAAACUUAGAAAUGAGCUAAAUAUACUUGAUUCUCGGAACUUUGAUUGAAACAUUGCACACAUAGCUCAUUUAUAUACCUUCGAUCAUAUCUCUUUUAUUUCUAUGACUAAUGUGUUUUCAAGAGUAUUUCCAUACUAAGUCGUAGAUUAAAAGGGAAAUGGAGUCUUCGGCGAAGACAAGGCUUCCACUCUACUCUAACAGUAUCAUUUACCCUUCGCCAUCACUCCACAUCACUCUCAAAUUGGUAUAAUCUUCCAGUCAUAUUUACUUGUACCAAUGGGAGAUAAAGUAAAAAGAGCUCUCAAAGUCUCCGUUUUUUGCGAUUAAUGCCAAAGGGGGAGAAAUAUUAAGCCCAAAGCAAAAGGACCGCACCACCAAACUUCAAAAAUUCAAAUUUUUUCGAAAUGAUGAUUUAUGCUUGUCUUUUCAAUUGGUAUCUUAUGAUGAAAAUUCUUAGUUGAUAUAUUUCAAAUUGGUAUGUUGAUUUUCAAUUGAUACAUUUUCAAAAGCAUCCCAAGUAUAAGUUCCAAUUGAUAUCUAUUAAAACCCUCUUGAAAGCUAAGAGGAGAAUUUCAUUCAGGGGGAGUUUUGUUUAGUCAAAGGAAAAACAUUUUGAAAUAGGGGGAGAAAAUUUCAAAUCUUGAAAAUGCUUCUCGAAAUCUUAUUCAUAUACCUUUGACUAUUUGCAAAAAGACUUUAAAAAGAUUUUCCAAAAGAAUUUGCAAAAACAAAACAAGUGGUGCAAAUGUUGUCCAAAAUGUUAAAUAAAAGAAAGCAAACCAUGCAUAUUUAGUGAAACUAUAAAUUGAUUUAAUUCCAAGUAACCUAUGCACUUACAUUAUGCAAACUAGUUCAAUUCUGCACUUAUAUAUUUGCUUUGGUUUGUGUUGACAUCAAUCACCAAAAAGGGGGAGAUUGAAAGGGAAAUAGAGCUUAACCUUUUUCUAUAAAUAAUUGUGGUGGUUGAAUGCCCAACACAAAUAAUUGGACUAACUGGUUUGCUCUAGAUUAUAUAUUCUACAGGUGUAUAAAGGUUCAACACAAACCAAUAAAAGAUCAAAGUUAGGGUUCAAAAGAAAGGAACAAAAGAAACCGAAGAGUACUCUGGUCUGGCGCACCGAACAGUGUCCGGUGCACCAGGGCCGUACAACUCUGAAACCUUCACCUUCGGGUUUUUCAGGUGUCGCUCCGCUAUAAUUCACCGGACUGUCCUGUGUGCCACCGGACUAUCCGGUGCACCAGUGGAGCAACGACUAUCAGCACAACGGUCGACUGCGCAGUGCCCCUGACAGCGCUACAGUCACGGCAGAAGUCAGAGCAGAGGUCAGAGGCGCACCGGACAGUGAACAGUGCCUGUCCGGUGCCACUAGAAGUCAGCGCUCCAACGGUCGACUCCGUCAGAACCCUAACGGUUGGAUGACGUGGCUGGCGCACCGGACAGUGUCCGGUGGCACACCGAACCGUCCGGUGCGCCCAUCAACAGCAGCCACCCCAACGGUUGUUUUGGUGGUUGAGGGCUAUAAAUACCCCCAACUACCUCCACUCCAACCAUCCAAGCAUUCAACACUCUCUAUUCAAUACAAGAGCAAAGUGCAACACUCCAAAGACACAAUUCAAGUGAUCGAUCCAAUCAAAGUUCCCGAUUCAACUCUAGUGCAUUAGAACUUGUGAGAGGAUCAUUUGUGUUUCUUUGUUGCUCUUGUUUGCUUGGCUUGACUUUCUUUUCUUUCUCACUUCUUACUCUCAAGUGCUUUGUAAGUGAGGCAAGAGACACCAAUUGUGUGGUGAUCCUUGCGGGGUCUAAGUGACCCGUGAGAUUAAGGAAGAAGCCUCACUCGGUCUAGGUGACCAUUUGAGAGAGGGAAAGGGUUGAAAGAGACCCGGUCUUUGUGACCACCUCAACGGGGACUAGGUUCUUUAGAACCGAACCUCGGUAAAACAAAUCACCGUGUCAUCCGCUUUAUUUUCUUGGUUGAUUUGUUUUCCCCUCUCUCCCGGACUCGGUUUUUAUCCUAAAGCUAACCCCGGUUUGUAGUGUGCUUAAAGUUGUAAAUUUCAGUUUCGGCCUAUCCACCCCCCUCUAGGCGACUUUCAGCGUGCAAAGUGGCUAGCCCUAGAGAUUUGUUGGGGUAGUUGGAAGGAAGCGUAUAAUAAGUUACGAGGAUAUUGUGCAUAUUGACUUACUAUAAACCCAUGUUGAGAUGGUUUCUGUUCACUAGAAGGAAGUACUUCCUCUUCUCCAACGAUGAAGUAACACAUGUCUUGUAACAUGUAUCGUUAUGCAAAAUAAAAUGGUUUCCAAUAUUAUGUAGUGGGUUGUUGAUGGCGCUUUCCUUACCGACCAAUGUAGUGGGUUGUUGAUGAUGGUGGCAACUGUUGAUCUAGAGGUCAGAUAGCGCCAUUAGUUUUUGCUUUGGUAGAUGGAGAAAAGAACAAUUCAUGGUCAUGGUUCAUGCAACUUUUAUGGAUAAAUGUGCUCAACACUUCUAGUAGGAUAUAUAUGAUCUUGUGACUGGCACAUCGAUCAACUAAAUGCAGCAUGAGAAGAGCUUGUAGGUUCUCGCCUCUAGAACACAAAUGACACAUGAGAUAUUUUGAUGCUAAUUUCUAGCGUUGUAGAAAAAGAAGGUUAUAGCCAAGAUAAAGGCUCUAUGUUCUGCAUGGUCGGAGCAUUAGUUUGACACCGAGGGGAAGACAUGGUUGUAGGAGAUGCAACACAAGAGUCUAAGUGGGCAUUAGCAUUUGCUGAGGGACAUUUUUAGUGUGUCAUCAUAACUACCAAUGUGUCUGUGUCUUCCAAUAAUGUUUUCAAAGGGGUCCAAGCCCUACUGUGUUCGGCAUCAAAGAGUAUCCUUUCAUACGUGUGAUAGGACCUAUGUCACCAGAGGGUGUAAAUAGCCCAUAAAAAUUAUUCUAUAAAACUUAAAUUAUAACUAGAGCCAAGAUGUUUGAAUAUGUGGAGCCAUUUACUUACUCUAGUUCGAAUUUACUUUCUGCUAGCUCCUAAUCAGUAUAGAAAUUUGAUGAAAAAAUUAUAAUAAACAUAGCAUGCUAUUUACUAGCAAGAAAAAAAACUUAAUUAUACUCUACACAAAUCUAGAUAGACAAAUGUGAAAUCAUAGGGAAUGUAAUCGCAAGAAUAUUUUGGAAUACAAACCACACAUAACAAGAGAUGACAUGAGAUUUAAUCCUUAGGUUUGGUUGCUUGCUGAUAACCUUGUUCUUGUUGUGGACGAGUCGAAUUAGGUGAUUUUACGUGCUAAUUGGCAUCACACACAAAGCUAGAUGUCAUAAGAAUAUAGAUGUCCAAAUGGGCCGACCGGGCCGACCCUGGCAUGGCUAGGCCCGACACGAAUUGGGGUCUUGCCAGCUUGGCCCGGAUUAACUAGUGGGUCGUGACUAGAGAUGGCCAAACGGGUCGCCCGGCCUGGCCCAGGCCAGGCCCGGUGAAGCCCGACCCGUCUAGGGCCCAGUCCGCUAGGCAUGGUUAUAAACCGGGUCAGACCGUUGAAAGGGAAAUGAGCUUAAUCAUUUCCUAUAAUCGAUUUUGGUGGUUGACAUCUAUCACAAACCACUUGGACUAAUUACUUUGACAAGAUGUCAUUUAUCUCAAGUGCAUAAGGUUCAACACAAACCAAGAAAGAAAUUCAGUUGGGGACUCAAAUAAAUUUGGAGCAAAGGACUUGAGAGUGUGCUGCCUUUGGCGCACCGGAUAGUGUCCGGUGCACCAGGCCGAGCAGUGCUCGAACAGCUCACUCUCGGGUUUCUCCAUGGCGUGCUCCGCUACAAUUCACCGGACUGUCCGGUAUGUACUGGACAUAUCCGAUGAGCCAACAGAGCAAUGGUAACCUGACGCCAACGGUCGUCUGCCAAAAGUGAACAGUGGUGAACAAUGCGCGACAGAGCUCAGAGCAAAGAAGUUAGAGUACACCGGACAUGUCCGGUGCAGCUACAGAACAAGGGUUCCAACGGUCGACCGCUCCAAACCCCAACGGGCACGCUGAUGUGACGCGCACCGGACACUGAACAGUGCCUGUCUGGUGCGCCACCGGACUGUUCGGUGUGCCCAUCGCCGGCAAAAACAACCAACUACUAGGAAGUGGUUGGAGGCUAUAAAUAUUUCCCAACCAGCUCCUUCAAUGGCAUCCAAGUUUUCUAAACUCCAUAUUCAUUGCAAGAGCAAAGCCAAACACUCCAAGACACAUUCAAAGCAUUCAAUCCACUCCAAGCUCCCAAAAUCAACUCUAGUUCUUAGAGACUUGUGAGAGGAUUAUUUGUGUUCUUUUGUUGCUCUUGUUGCUUGGAUUGCUUUCUCCUCCUCUAUUCUUGUUCUCAUAAGUGCUUUGUAAAGCUAGCAAGAGACACCUAAGUGUGUGGUGAUCCUUGCAGGGUCUUAGUGACCCAAGUGAUUAAGGAGAAAGCUCAUCCGGUCUAAGUGACCGUUUGAGAGAGGGAAAGGGUUGAAAUAGAUCCGGCCUUUGUGGCCUCCUCAACAGGGACUAGGUUCUUUGGAACCGAACCUCAGUAGAACAAAUCACCGUGUUCACUUGUGUUGAUUUCCAUUUGAUUCGUUUUCCCUCUCUCUAGAAGUUCCCUUGCUCAUAUAAAUUUGAGUUGUCUCCCAAAGUUAUCCGCAUUGAUUGAGCAACUCUAAGCAAGGAGAACUAUCUUCCGCUCACCGAUUUAAUUCUAACGCUAACCCCGACCUUAGUGCGAGUUUAAGUUUAUAAAUUUCAGGUUUCACCUAUUCACCCCCCUCUAGGCAACUUUCAAUUGGUAUCAAAGCCAGUGCUUCAUUAAGAGUCUAACAAACUCGAAGUGAUGUCUAGAGAUCACGCCAAUAGGGAGAUCGUCACAGGCGAAAAGGCCAUGGGUUCGGGAAGGACUCUAUCAAGGGAGUCCGGCGACAAAUACAAGGAGGAGUCCUCUUCCUCCAUCAAGUCACAUAGGAGGGGCGACAAGAAGAAAAACAAAAUGAAGAAGGUGGUAUACUAUGUCUUCAUCACCCUCCACAUCCGGUGCCGAGUCUACAACUUCGAAGUGCCAUGAGCGUAAGAGUAUAGUAAGAUGCCUCUCCGCUAUCCUCGCAUUCCUAAAUGCGCUCCUCUACUUUCCGUACCUCUAGGCAAACCACCAUAUUUUGAUGGUGAAGAUUAUUGUAUGUGGAGUGAUAAAAUGAGGCAUCAUCUAAUUAACCUCACUCCACGAAAGCAUAUGGGAUAUUGUUGAGUUUGGAGCGCAGGCACCACAGAUGGGCGACGAGGACUACGACUCAGACAAGGCCGCCCAAAUUAAGCAUUUUAACUCCCAAGCAACUUCUAUACUCCUCGCCUCCUUGUGUCGAGAGGAGUAUCAUUGUAACAUCCCAAAAAUUCAACCCAAGGUUUAGAACCCUAAUCUCCUAACCCCCCCCCUUAUCUUUCCCUAAAUUCUCCCUCAUAGGACAUCGCAUCAUAUGCACACACUUUGAUUGUUAGAAGCACCUCACAUAGAUGAUUAUUUUUUAGCACCUAAGAUUAUUUAGCUAAUUAUUUGUUCAAAAGAAAAGGGGAUAAAAGAAAUAGAAAUAGAAAAUAGAAAUAAGACAUAGAAAAUAGAAAAGAAAAUGGAAAAAACCUUCUCCCCCCCC